RNAcentral lists this long non-coding RNA (47346 nucleotides) under Coffea arabica (coffee). RNAcentral describes it as "long non-coding RNA (CARA_LNC002481)". Lineage: Eukaryota; Viridiplantae; Streptophyta; Magnoliopsida; Gentianales; Rubiaceae. The record is from RNAcentral.
UAGUGAUUCUAUUGCCUAGCCAGAGCUAGAUUUCCUUCUUUUUCAAGUUUGUGUGUGGUUUUGAGAAUCAACUCAUAAACAACUUGUAUUUGGAAAAGUAUGAGGAGUUGCAAGUUAAAGUAAUUUCAACGAUCUUGAAUUGUCUUAUUAACUGAUCGGAUUUAGUCUUCUUCUGAUUGUUUGUUUAUUUGAAGGGAUUCUAAUUGAUUUUGGGAACUCAAUUGUUUUGCGAUUUUCUUACUGGUUAAAAUGUUUGGGAUUUACAGAUCGACAUCAACUCAAUACAACCAGUGGCGCCGGCUGACCCUCACGUGGUCGGGAUCGGACAAUUUGUAGUGGAAAAAUUUCACCACGGCAAGCUGCAUUUCAUCGCCGUGAUUGGCGGAUUCACUUGGAAUUGUGAAGGAGGCAAGUACUACGCACUUAUCAUUCAAAAUCAGGAUUAUGAGGGCGCCACAUUUAUCCAUAAAGCACUCGUUGUUGAGGCCAAAGGUGAAACGAAACUCCUCUGGCACAGGAAUUAAUCAAGCACUACUAUUGAUCAGCUGAGGAUAAAGGACUUUCUUUGGGUACUUAAAUUAUCUAGUGUCUAUGGUGUGGGUUUUCAGUUUAUGCAUGGAUGAUGUACUGCUGCCAUGCAGACAUCUUUCCACUGUUGUACUAGUAUGUUAAAUAAGGUGCACUUAUACCAACAAAAUGCACCAUUCCGUCUAUUUUUUUAAUUUGUAUCCUUGUAAUAACAUGCAAAAGAUGCACUUUUACGAACAAAAAUGUACCAUUAAAUGAAUAAAAACAAUCGUCUGUUUUUGAGUUUUAUCUGUAUAUUUUGUUUCUAUGUUACUUCCAAGCAAGUUCCGAUCCCUGAAUUUGUAUGUCAACUACGUACUAUGGUCUUGUUAGAUAUUUGGGUUGUCCUCCUAAAUCUGCUUUUAAUAUGAUAGAAUCUAUUUGUGGUAGAUUUUUUGUGGGGUUCCUCGGAGGAGCAAAGGAACACGCCAGUUUCUAACUCGGAAUGGUCCUAGCUAGUUCAUUGAUCCAGCUCCCAGAGUAGAGCUGUCUGGUCCUGCCAUCACCAAACUAAGAACAUGUUUCCUUGAAACGCCCAUAGAGAAUGCUUUCUAGGAUCAACCAAAAAUGAUAAUAAUAACAGUAAAUGUACCUCCAUUUAGCCAUAAAACACGAGGCUUGUUAGAAGGAUUUUCGGACUCCGCAAAAUAGUAGAAGAGAGCUUUACCAGUCUUCGGAUCAACAGUAACAUACCCUGAAUAUUGAUCACACUUUAACCCUUUUGGUUGCCCCGGCAACGCUACUACCUUGUCAGCCGCCUUCCAAACCCUCUUGAGGACCAAUAUAAACUGGCGUGUUCUCAUUUACGUAAUUGUCUACUUGAUGGGUGUCGAAACCACCAAAAAUAAAAUUCGUACUCCAAAAAGAUAUACUUUUGAGUACAAUGGUGAGUGGAGUCAAAAAAUAAUAAUGUAAAAUUAAAUAAAAAUAAUUCAAUAAAAGAUAAAUCACUAGUCAAAAAUCUAAUCACCACUUUAGUUCAAUUAACUAAUCAUUGAUGCAUGGAUAAAAUCAUUUAUUUAUAAAUAAAUUAGUUAUGGUUGUCAACAAAUUUUAAGAACCUGCCUACCUCUCCUUGCUACCCUCGAUAACCACAGCAAAUUUUGUGAUUAUUACUCUUGCCAAUUAAACAACCCUAGACAAACUUUUAGGAUUUAACAUAUUGACAAAAUUAAUUAUUACAAAAGCUACCCAUUUGAUAACAUUAAUUAUUACAAAAGUUGCCGGUUCUAACCAAUAAACACAUAAGUUUCCGUUUAUUUGGAUUCGAUUAUAUAUUUUCGUGACCUAUAUUUGAAAAUUUUUACUACAAUCAAAUUAUAUCAAAUUAUAUCACUUGCCAUAAAUACUAAAACCAUCAAAUAAUUAUAGAUUUGAUGAUUUAGAUGCAAUAUAGUGUUUCAAUAAUUAAAUAAUGGCCAAUUAUUUAAUCAUAUAAAAUAAUCAUAUUAGGAACUUGAGAAGUUCGGUAAAAUUUUCAUUCCCUCAAAGGUUCAAGGCAAAUAAAUUUGAUAGGGAUUUUGAGAAGUUUGCUAAAAUUUUUAAGCAAUUGCGUAUUAAUAUCCUUUUUGCCGAUGUUAUUUUCAGAUUCCUUCGUAUGAAAAAUUUCUCAAGGAGAUUAUGAUUCAAAAGAGAAAAUUGGAGGAUUGUGAAGCAAUAGCAUUAACGGAGAAGUGCAGUGCCAUCAUACAAAAUAAGCUACCACCAAAAUUGAAGGAUCCAGGGAAUUUCUUUAUAUCAUGCAUGUGAGGACCAGAAAAAAUUUUAUUUUUUUUAAGUUUUCUCCUAUUUUUGAAAAAAAAUUAAUUUAUGUUUCCUUUUAUUUUACUUUACUUGCUUAUUUGCUAGUCUUAAUUUGAUAGUGAUUUUAAAGGUUAAGUUAAGAUUAUUCUUUUGUUCCCUUUUUAUAAUCUUGAUGCAUGUUAAGUUUCAUAAAGUAUUAUGGUAGUUUAACCGACUAGUGAGAUGUACGCAUUAUAUUUGAUGGACGAGAAUGGAUGUGAUGCUAGAGGAAUUAUGUGAUUAGAAGUGUUAAAAAUGUAUUGGAAGAACACAAGAUAUAUUGGUUAUUAGAGAAAUACAAGAGAGACAAAAGGAUAGACAUGAAACCAAGCCUCGACAAGUGUCGUGCAUCCAUGAAGUCUUGACCAAGACAUGGACCAAGAGAAGUCUUAUGUUUAUCUUCCAAAAUUGACUCAAAAACCUUUACUUUCUUCUUCAUUGUGGCCGAACUUAAGGGAGAGAGAGAAGAGAGAAAACUUUCAAAAUCCUCUUGAUUUCCUUGCUUAAUUUGUGAAAAAAUCCAUGAUCAACCCUAAUUUACUCCAUAAAACCUUGAGUUAAUCUUGGAAUGAAACUUUUGGUGGAAUCAUUUGAGGAAGAAAGUUCUUAUCUUACCAUUUAUCUUGGGAUUUUGAGGUAUUUUACUAAGAACCUCUCUUUUUCCUUCUUAUUUUGCCAUUUAAGCAACAUAUAACUUGAUUAGGAUGGAUUUCAUAGAAGAAUUCAUGGUUUUGCUUAGUAGGUUGCAAUUUUCAGCUUUGGAAUAUAUUGUUCAGCCUUGUUAUGAAUGGUUUUGCUUUGAUAUGAGGUUGGAUAUGAAAUUUUAGCUUUGAAAUGAGGUUAUCUAGCUUCUAUAUUCGAAUUUCCAGCUUUAGUGUUAAUUUCCAACUUUGAUUUUGUAUUUUCCAGCCUUGAGUUGAGAGUUUCCAACUUUGAUGUGGACUUAUGAGUUUGGAUAUGAAGAUAUCUAACUUGAACAUGCACUUCUAGCUUUGUUAUAUGAUUUUUCUAGCUUUAGUGGUCAAUUUCCAGCUUUGAGAUGAAAAAUUUCAGCUUUGGUGUAAGUGAUUUGGAGCUUGAUAUAUAUGUUCAAAGUUGAUAGUUUAGUGGCCUAAAGUAUGCACUAUUUGUCCCCUAUAAUAUGUGGCCUUGAUUGAGGUUCAUUUACCAUGAAACUAGGAUUUGAAUGGAUGGUUAACUUGAAGAAAUUUGGGGACAUAUUGCUGGAUUUUCUUCUUGUUGGUCAUUUUGGGGACCUAAAUUUGGGGACAUAAAUUUAGGGCAUUUUUGUUUUUCUCUUGCAUAUGAUUUUACUCAAAACACUUGCUACAAUCUAUUUCUUUGCAUGUACGUUAGUUUUGAGCCAAGACAAGAGGUUUAAAUGAAAGGAAAUGAGUUUUAUCAAAUCAUUUUCUAGUUGGACAAUUUCCAACUUGGCACCUUCAAAGUCUUGACAUAAUUUCCUCAAACUUUUGACUAUAAUCGAUGUUUGUGUGCUCCAAAUGACUCUUGAAACAUGGAUUUAGUAUGCACACAAGGUUUUCCCCUUAAUUUGAACAAGAAAAUGUUAUAUUUUUUAUUAGUUAUAUGGGGAUAAAACUUGUGAACUAGUGUAUUUUCUAAAUGAAGUUUUGAACCCUCAAUUUCUUCAUUGUAUUUUGACUUUGUUUACUAGUCUUUUAAUAUAGUGUAUGACUACAGGACUCGAGAUAUUUCAAGAGGACAAACCGGGGCUGAAGUGAAAGAGUACGAUUGAUUGGUGAGUGUUCUUCGCAUGUUGUGCUUUAAAUGACUAUGUAGAAUGUUUGUUUGAAUGUCAAAUACUUUCUAAUGAUUGUUAAAUGGAUUUUCAAUGGGUGAGUGUGUACUUUAUCACACUUGACCCAAAGUGAAAGUGGAUUUUCAAUGAUUGAAUGUUAUUUGUGCAUGAAUGUAAGCCUUUGAUUGAAUUGGGCCCUUGCCCUUCAUUGCCAGUCGACUCGAGCCAGAAGCAGACUCGGUCGGGUGGCUGGUGACCCUAGGACAGUGUUUGGUAUACUCAAGUAUGAUCACGAAGUUGGAUGGAGUACUAGCCAGUGUAUGCAAUGCAAUGAUUGAAACGAAUGACUGAAUGAAAUGAACACUGAAGGAGUUUUCACUUUCAAAUAUUUUUAAAUAUUGGAGGGAUAAGGGAAAUGGAUGACGAAUGAAUGACUGAAUGAAUGGCUCAAGUGAGUAGUAUCCUUUCAAUGAUUGUUUCUUGAAUGACUGUUUAUUAUCGUGCAAAGUGUAUAAUUGUCAAUUGUAGCAUUUCUGUGCUUUAUCUACCUAACUGCUUGUUUGGGAAUCUCACUAGGCUUUUUGCUCAUUCUAUUAGUUUGUUUUCCUUAUAGGAGUGGAGGCCGGAGCAAGUAAGCGUAAACUAGUGUAUAUAAUCUUCAUUUACUAGUGUGUAUAAUUUUCAUGUACUAGUGUGUAGAUGAAAUGUAUUUGGGAUAUUUAGUAAUGUAAUCCUAUAUUUCACUUUUAGAUUGUAAAUUAAGUGAGAAUUAUUAGUUGAAUUGGGAACUUUUAUGUUAAUCUAGAGACGUGAAAGACUAUUUCAAGAAUGUUAGUGAGUGAGUCCUGACGAGAGUUGGACAGGCGGUCCGCCCAACUCUUGGAUUCGUCCUAGGGAGAGGUGGAGUCGUCACAAUGCACUAUUGAUAACAUUGAUUUUUUUAAAGUAUUAUGUAACCUUGGUGCUAGUGUAUCAGUAAUUCCUUUAAGAGUGGUUAGACAAUUAGAUUUACAUGAGUUUAAAAGUACUAAUAUUACUUUGCAGUUAACUGAUAGGUCUAUUAAAUAUCUAUUGAAAGUGUUGGAGAAUGUAUUAAUUAAAGUAUAAAAAGUUAUCGUCUUUAUGAAUUUUGAGGUAUUAGAUAUGAAAAAAAAAUGUCUAUAUCAAUUAUUCUUGGCAGACCAUUUUUAGCAGUUGUAGGUACUAUUAAUGAUGUUAAAAAUGACAAAUUUAAGUUUCAAAUAUGUAAAGAAGAGGUAGAAUUUAAUUUGAAUGAAAUAAAAAAAUACCAUUUUUUUACUGAUCAUUCUUGUUCUAUUGGCACAAUUGAUAAGUUAGUCAAAGAGUUGAGUCGAGUGAACUGUGACUUCGACCCUUUUGAGAUUUGUUUGAUGAGUUUAAAAAUGCAAGAGGGAGACUGUGAAGAAAUUAAAGAAUUGGCUAAAUAUUUAGAUUUUCAAACAGCUUAUAAACGAGAUAAUGUUUAUGAAAAUCUUGAUCAAAGAAAAGAGCCCCCACUAUCCUCGGAGAUUGAAGUUCCAAAAUUAGAACUCAAGUCGCUCCCAAAUCAUUUAUGGUAUGAGUUUUUUGGAAAAAAUAGCACUCUGCCGAUAAUUAUUAGUGCUCACUUAGAUGAAGAACAAUGUGCAAAAUUGUUAAGGAUUCUAAGAAAACACAAGAAGUCAGUUGGACAGACAAUUUCUGAUAUCAAAGAUACAAGUCAUUAUAUAUGCAUGCACCGCAUAUUAUUAGAAAAAAAUCACACACUAGUGGUAGAAAUGCAAAGAAGGCUCAAUCCAAAUAUGAAAGAGAUGUAAGAAAUAAAAUUCCCAAAUGGCUUGAUUCAGGUAUAAUCUUUUUUUUUCUCUAAUAGUAUUUGGAUAAGUUCAAAUCAUAUUGUCCCUAAAAAGGAUGGAAAAACUGUAGUCAUGGGUAAAAAUGAUAAAAUGAUUCCAUAUCAAUUCAUGAAUUGGUGGAGAGUGUGUAUAGAUUAUAGAAAAUUAAAUGUAGUUACUAGAAAAAAUCACUUUUCCUUACCCUUUUCUGACCAAUUAUUUGAGAGAAUAGCCGGUUAUGAAUUUUACUGUUUUUCUAAUGUUUUUUCGGAUUAUAACCAAUUAGCUAUAAUUUUGGAGGAUCAAGAGAAUACCACAUUUACUUACCCUUAUGGUACCUUUGCCUUAAGAAAGAUGCCAUUUGAUCUAUGUAAAAUCCCUGCUAUGUUUCAACGUUACAUGGUGGCCAUAGUUUCUAAUUACAUUAAGAAAAUUAUGGAGAUAUUUAUGGAUGAUUUUUUGGUAUUUGGUUCAUCUUUUGGUCAUUAUAUUCAUAAUUUAGAUUUGAUUUUACAAAGAUGUGAGGAGACAAAUCUUGUGCUAAAUUAGGAGAAAUGCUAUUUUAUGGUUCGAGAAAAAAUUGUCAGAAUCAGAUAAAGAUAAUAAUGACGAAACUGUAACCAAACCCGUGAUAGUAGAUCCCUACAAAACAUAUAAACUACCAAAUCUGCAAACUUUUAUUACAAUAAGAGCGCCUUUAGAAACCUUCAUAACGUUAUUUUUAGCUGUGUAUGUGCACCCAAGAACCUCCAGAGUGUCCAAAGAAAUGAGAUUCUUUUUCAAAUCAAGAACAUGUCUAAUAUUAGUAAGCGUUCUCAAAAUACCAUCAUGUAUUUUAAUUCAAACUGUACCCUUACCAACAACAUCACAAACGGCAUUAUUGCCCAUGAAAGCAAUUCCACCAUUACAAGAUUCAUAAGUGAAAAAUAAAUCCCCAUUGGGACAUAUGUGAUAAGAGCACCCCGAAUCUAAGAUUCAUUCAUUUUUAAACCUUGUCCUAUCAUCAGUCACAAAAUAUUUAUUUUAUUCUCAUCAACUGCAGCACAAGUUUCGAUAGUUUAGGUACUUUUUUUCACUAGGUUUCCCCUUUUACUUUAAUCUUUUCAAUUUAAAGUAAUUUGCAUUAAUGUGUCUCAUUUUGUGAUAAUAAUUGCACUCUAAAUUUUUGUGUCUGGGUUUAGAUCUAAAGUUAGAUCUACUACUGUCAAAUGUUUUUUAUUGGUUCUGCCCCUAACCACCAGACUUUCCCCCUGAUUCCCAAAUUUCUUCAGUAAUAUCCCUGUCUAUCUGCUCCUUUGAUUUUAAUGCAAAUUUAAUUUCACGAUACGAAAUUAUUUCUUUUCCAUAAAUCAUAGUAUUGUAAAAAUAUUUAAAAGUGGGAAAGGAAAUACAAAAGUAGCAGGGCCUGAUUUUCAACAUCAAUUUCAAAUCUAUAUUCUCCAAAUUCAUAAUAAUUGAAUCAAAUUUAUCAAGAUAUGAGAGUAUAGAUGUACUUUCAGUCAUGCAAAACAUAUACAAACUUUAUUUUAAAUAAAACCGAUUCUUAACUGUUUUCUUCAUGUACAAAGCCUUAAACUUGUCCCACGUGUCCUUUAUCGAAAUUUCAGUGGUUAUCUCCCGCAAAACCACAUCAAAGAGAUUUAAGAUAAUACUAGAUCUUGUCUUCUUAUCUAUUUUAGCAAAAUUUGUAUCUGUCACACUCUUUGACUUUUUAUCAAUUUCUUGUAUUUCUAAAUCAACUCCGCCUUGAACCAAAAUGCUCUCUAUCUUGAGCUGCCGUAUCCCAAAAUUGACAUUCCUGUCAAAUUUUUUGACAAUAAUCUUUGUUAUUAUCAUUGUUGCCACAAAAUUUAAACCUUCCGAAGAAGUUCUGAUAUUAGUUUGUUAGGUCUGGAUCCAGAAAAUUGACGAUAGGAUUUUUGGCAAUCCUAAAAGACAAAUAACAAAGAAAAAUAAAUAAAACAGGAAUACAUAAAAUUUAUAUGAUUCGGUCAAAUAGACCUACGUUCACGAGUGGAGCAAGAGCAAAAUUUUACUAUGAAUAACAGAAUACAAAAAUGUUUUAGACAAGCAUUUUUAAAUCCAAAACACCUAAUACUUGAAACACAAAAGAACCCAAAAAUAUUUUAUUAAACAAAAAGAUUUAAAUGAUUCAAAGGCCCAAAAUAACCCACUAAAACUCUCUUAAUUUGAUUCAUCUGAUUCCCUCAAACAUAUCAAACGUGUAAAACCUUAUCAUAUUUGACCCGUAAAACAUAAUAAACAUGCGUAUACGAAACUAUAAACGAUGUCCCAAAAGAAUUAUCCCCACACAACGAGAGCAAAAUUUCACCCAUUAUAAAACUACUUUCGACGGGGAUUUUUGGUCAGAAUGUAUCAUAGAAAUUUAUAAUUUACAAUACCAGGUCAAUUUUAUCUUAAAAGUUAGGAGGACUAUUGUCAUGCAAUUGACGUUGACUAACUGCCUGCCUUCCAGUCACAAACUGACAACGAUACUAAAUCACAAACUUGACAACAGAUACUUGUUUUUUUUUAUUAGAGAACGUGAGGAACGUGAGGAGCUAACCACGUCGAAAUCAAAAUAACACAAUACUAAAUCAAUUUCAUUGGGCGAAGCAACCUCUUAACUACUGUUCUUUCUGGGAAUCAAGAUUUUAAAAGUCAAGAUAUCCUCGAAUUCUUGGAUAAGAUCAACAGUAUUGGUCAUCACCCUUCCGUGUAUGCUUUUCUCAUCUAUGUUUCUAGUAACCUCAUUUUCGUUCCUCUGUUAUGACAAACUGUUCUGGAAAUAAUAAUCAUUUGACCACAUGAUUAAAAAUCACUAAUGCAUUGCCAUAUAAAGUAAUCUGUCACCAUCUUACCUUCAUUUGAUAAUUACAUUUUAUUUCCUAACCAUUCUAAUUUGUAAUUCAAUUUAACUAAUGAGUAUUCAAUGGACACUCGUUAAAAGAAAUUCGUAUUAGUUUUUUUAAAAAAAUAUAGUUUAUUUGUAAAAGUAUAGCAAUUCGAGAUGUGCAAUAUAAGUGUGUAUGCGUAUUUAUAUAGCAAUUUAGGUGUGGUCAUUAGCAAAAUUUUUCCUAAUUAAGCCUUUACUUAGUAACUGGCAUUUCUAGCCAAAUAUAGAUUGCGUGCCAUUAAAAAAUUCUUCAAAGGGCGGUGUGUCUUUUCACACUGACCUUAUCAAAGACGCGUCCCAUGCUGGUCGGCCGUGACUUUGGUGAUUAGGUCCGACAAGUAAUGAAUUUACUUAUGGGGUACGUCACCACAUUUUUAGGCCUAUAAAUACGAGGACUCUGGUUCGUUAUUUUGAUAUGCUAAACUCAGCAAACAGGUUUUCGACAGUCACAACCAGUUACAAGUAUCCAUUUUCGUUCAUAUUAAUUAGCUAGCUAGUUCUCCAAGGGAAAAAAUGGCUGAAGCCAAAUCUGCUACUGUCACUGAUCAGGUGAAUAGUGAUUCUAUUGCCUAGCCAGAGCUAGAUUUCCUUCUUUUUCAAGUUUGUGUGUGGUUUUGAGAAUCAACUCAUAAACAACUUGUAUUUGGAAAAGUAUGAGGAGUUGCAAGUUAAAGUAAUUUCAACGAUCUUGAAUUGUCUUAUUAACUGAUCGGAUUUAGUCUUCUUCUGAUUGUUUGUUUAUUUGAAGGGAUUCUAAUUGAUUUUGGGAACUCAAUUGUUUUGCGAUUUUCUUACUGGUUAAAAUGUUUGGGAUUUACAGAUCGACAUCAACUCAAUACAACCAGUGGCGCCGGCUGACCCUCACGUGGUCGGGAUCGGACAAUUUGUAGUGGAAAAAUUUCACCACGGCAAGCUGCAUUUCAUCGCCGUGAUUGGCGGAUUCACUUGGAAUUGUGAAGGAGGCAAGUACUACGCACUUAUCAUUCAAAAUCAGGAUUAUGAGGGCGCCACAUUUAUCCAUAAAGCACUCGUUGUUGAGGCCAAAGGUGAAACGAAACUCCUCUGGCACAGGAAUUAAUCAAGCACUACUAUUGAUCAGCUGAGGAUAAAGGACUUUCUUUGGGUACUUAAAUUAUCUAGUGUCUAUGGUGUGGGUUUUCAGUUUAUGCAUGGAUGAUGUACUGCUGCCAUGCAGACAUCUUUCCACUGUUGUACUAGUAUGUUAAAUAAGGUGCACUUAUACCAACAAAAUGCACCAUUCCGUCUAUUUUUUUAAUUUGUAUCCUUGUAAUAACAUGCAAAAGAUGCACUUUUACGAACAAAAAUGUACCAUUAAAUGAAUAAAAACAAUCGUCUGUUUUUGAGUUUUAUCUGUAUAUUUUGUUUCUAUGUUACUUCCAAGCAAGUUCCGAUCCCUGAAUUUGUAUGUCAACUACGUACUAUGGUCUUGUUAGAUAUUUGGGUUGUCCUCCUAAAUCUGCUUUUAAUAUGAUAGAAUCUAUUUGUGGUAGAUUUUUUGUGGGGUUCCUCGGAGGAGCAAAGGAACACGCCAGUUUCUAACUCGGAAUGGUCCAAGCUAGUUCAUUGAUCCAGCUCCCAGAGUAGAGCUGUCUGGUCCUGCCAUCACCAAACUAAGAACAUGUUUCCUUGAAACGCCCAUAGAGAAUGCUUUCUAGGAUCAACCAAAAAUGAUAAUAAUAACAGUAAAUGUACCUCCAUUUAGCCAUAAAACACGAGGCUUGUUACAAGGAUUUUCGGACUCCGCAAAAUAGUAGAAGAGAGCUUUACCAGUCUUCGGAUCAACAGUAACAUACCCUGAAUAUUGAUCAAACUUUAACCCUUUUGGUUGCCCCGGCAACGCUACUACUUUGUCAGCCGCCUUCCAAACCCUCUUGAGGACCAAUAUAAACUGGCGUGUUCUCAUUUACGUAAUUGUCUACUUGAUGGGUGUCGAAACCACCAAAAAUAAAAUUCGUACUCCAAAAAGAUAUACUUUUGAGUACAAUGGUGAGUGGAGUCAAAAAAUAAUAAUGUAAAAUUAAAUAAAAAUAAUUCAAUAAAAGAUAAAUCUCUGGUUAAAAAUCUAAUCACCACUUUAGUUCAAUUAACUAAUCAUUGAUGCAUGGAUAAAAUCAUUUAUUUAUAAAUAAAUUAGUUAUGGUUGUCAACAAAUUUUAAGAACCUGCCUACCUCUCCUUGCUACCCUCGAUAACCACAGCAAAUUUUGUGAUUAUUACUCUUGCCAAUUAAACAACCCUAGACAAACUUUUAGGAUUUAACAUAUUGACAAAAUUAAUUAUUACAAAAGCUACCCAUUUGAUAACAUUAAUUAUUACAAAAGUUGCCGGUUCUAACCAAUAAACACAUAAGUUCCGUUUAUUUAGAUUCGAUUAUAUAUUUUCGUGACCUAUAUUUGAAAAUUUUUACUACAAUCAAAUUAUAUCAAAUUAUAUCACUUGCCAUAAAUACUAAAACCAUCAAAUAAUUAUAGAUUUGAUGAUUUAGAUGCAAUAUAGUGUUUCAAUAAUUAAAUAAUGGCCAAUUAUUUAAUCAUAUAAAAUAAUCAUAUUAGGAACUUGAGAAGUUCGGUAAAAUUUUCAUUCCCUCAAAGGUUCAAGCCAAAUAAAUUUGAUAGGGAUUUUGAGAAGUUUGCUAAAAUUUUUAAGCAAUUGCGUAUUAAUAUCCUUUUUGCGGAUGUUAUUUUCAGAUUCCUUCGUAUGAAAAAUUUCUCAAGGAGAUCAUGAUUCGAAAGAGAAAAUUGGAGGAUUGUGAAGCAAUAGCAUUAACGGAGAAGUGCAGUGCCAUCAUACAAAAUAAGCUACCACCAAAAUUGAAGGAUCCAGGGAAUUUCUUUAUAUCAUGCAUGUGAGGACCAGAAAAAAUUUUAUUUUUUUAAAGUUUUCUCCUAUUUUUGAAAAAAAAUUAAUUUAUAUUUCCUUUUAUUUUACUUUACUUGCUUAUUUGCUAGUCUUAAUUUGAUAGUGAUUUUAAAGGUUAAGUUAAGAUUAUUCUUUUGUUCCCUUUUUAUAAUCUUGAUGCAUGUUAAGUUUCAUAAAGUAUUAUGGUAGUUUAACCGACUAGUGAGAUGUACGCAUUAUAUUUGAUGGACGAGAAUGGAUGUGAUGCUAGAGGAAUUAUGUGAUUAGAAGUGUUAAAAAUGUAUUGGAAGAACACAAGAUAUAUUGGUUAUUAGAGAAAUACAAGAGAGACAAAAGGAUAGACAUGAAACCAAGCCUCGACAAGUGUCGUGCAUCCAUGAAGUCUUGACCAAGACAUGGACCAAGAGAAGUCUUAUGUUUAUCUUCCAAAAUUGACUCAAAAACCUUCACUUUCUUCUUCACUGUGGCCGAACUUAAGGGAGAGAGAGAAGAGAGAAAACUUUCAAAAAUCCUCUUGAUUUCCUUGCUUAAUUUGUGAAAAAAUCCAUGAUCAACCCUAAUUUACUCCAUAAAACCUUGAGUUAAUCUUGGAAUGAAACUUUUGGUGGAAUCAUUUGAGGAAAAAAGUUCUUAUCUAGCAAUUUAUCUUGGGAUUUUGAGGUAUUAUACUAAGAACCUCUCUUUUUCCUUCUUAUUUUGCCAUUUAAGCAACAUAUAACUUGAUUAGGAUGGAUUUCAUAGAAGAAUUCAUGGUUUUGCUUAGUAGGUUGCAAUUUUCAGCUUUGGAAUAUAUUGUUCAGCCUUGAUAUGAAUGGUUUAGCUUUGAUAUGAUGUUCGAUAUGAAAUUUUAGAUUUGAUAUGAGGUUAUCUAGCUUUAAUAUUCGAAUUUCCUGCUUUAGUGUUAAUUUCCAACUUUGAUUUUGUAUUUUCCAGCCUUGAGUUGAGAGUUUCCAGCUUUGAUGUGGACUUAUGAGUUUGGAUAUGAAGAUAUCUAACUUGAACAUGCACUUCUAGCUUUGUUAUAUGAUUUUUCUAGCUUUAGUGGUCAAUUUCGAGCUUUGAGAAGAAAAAUUUCAGCUUUGGUGUAAGUGAUUUGGAGCUUGAUAUAUAUGUUCAAAGUUGAUAGUUUUGUGGCCUAAAGUAUGCACUAUUUGUCCCCUAUAAUAUGUGGCCUUGAUUGAGGUUCAUUUACCAUGAAACUAGGAUUUGAAUGGAUGGUUAACUUGAAGAAAUUUGGGAACAUAUUGCUGGAUUUUCUUCUUGUUGGUCAUUUUGGGGACCUAAAUUUGGGGACAUAAAUUUAGGGCAUUUUUGUUUUCCUCUUGCAUAUGAUUUUACUCAAAACACUUGUUACAAUCUAUUUCUUUGCAUAUGCGUUAGUUUUGAGCCAAGAUAAGUGGUUUAAAUGAAAGGAAAUGAGUUUUAUUAAAUCAUUUUCUAGUUGGACAAUUUCCAACUUGGCACCUUGAAAGUCUUGACAUAAUUUUCUCAAACUUUUGACUAUAAUCGAUGCUUGUAUGCUCCAAAUGACUCUUGAAACAUGGAUUUAGUAUGCACACGAGGUUUUCCCCUUAAUUUGAGCAAGAAAAUGUUAUAUUUUUUAUUAGUUAUAUGGGGAUAAAACUUGUGAACUAGUGUAUUUUCUAAAUGAAGUUUUGAACCCUCAAUUUCUUCAUUGUAUUUUGACUUUGUUUACUAGUCUUUUAAUAUAGUGUAUGACUACAGGACUCGAGAUAUUUCAAGAGGACAAACCGGGGUUGAAGUGAAAGAGUACGAUUGAUUGGUGAGUGUUCUUCGCAUGUUGUGUUUUAAAUGACUAUGUGGAAUGUUUGUUUGAAUGUCAAAUACUUUCUAAUGAUUGUUAAAUGGAUUUUCAAUAGGUGAGUGUGUACUUUAUCACACUUGACCCAAAGUGAAAGUGGAUUUUCAAUGAUUGAAUGUUAUUUGUGCAUGAAUGUAAGCCUUUGACUGAAUUGGGCCCUUGCCCUUCAUUGCCAGUCGACUCGAGUCAGAAGCAGACUCGGUCGGGUGGCUGGUGACCCUAGGACAGUAUUUGGUAUACUCAAGUAUGAUCACGAAGUUGGAUGGAGUACUAGCCACUGAAUGUAAUGCAAUGAUUGAAAUGAAUGACUGAAUGAAAUGAACACUGAAGGAGUUUUCACUUUCAAAUAUUUUUAAAUAUUGGAGGGAUAAGGGAAAUGGAUGACGAAUGAAUGACUGAAUGAAUGGCUCAAGUGAGUAGUAUCCUUUCAAUGAUUGUUUCUUGAAUGACUGUUUAUUAUCGUGCAAAGUGUAUAAUUGUCAAUUGUAGCAUUUCUGUGCUUUAUCUACCUAACUGCUUGUUUGGGAAUUUCACUGGGCUUUUUGCUCAUUCAAUUAGUUUGUUUUCCUUAUAGGAGUGGUGGCCAGAGCAAGUAAGCGUGAACUAGUGUAUAUAAUCUUCAUGUACUAGUGUGUAUAAUUUUCAUGUACUGGUGUGUAGAUGAAAUGUAUUUGGGAUAUUUAGUAAUGUAAUCCUAUAUUUCACUUUUAGAUUGUAAAUUAAGUGAGAAUUAUUAGUUGAAUUGGGAACUUUUAUGUUAAUCUAGAGACGUGAAAAACUAUUUCAAGAAUGUUAAUGAGUGAGUCCUAACGAGAGUGGGAUAGGUGGUCCGUCCAACUCUUGGAUUCAUCCUAGAGAGAGGUGGAGUCGUCACAAUGCACUAUUGAUAACAUUGAUUUUUUAAAAGUAUUAUGUAACCUUGGUGCUAGUGUAUCAGUAAUUCCUUUAAGAGUGGUUAGACAAUUAGAUUUAGAUGAGUUUAAAAGUACUAAUAUUACUUUGCAGUUAACUGAUAGGUCUAUUAAAUAUCUAUUGAAAGUGUUGGAGAAUGUAUUAAUUAAAGUAUAAAAUGUUAUCGUCUUUAUGAAUUUUGAGGUAUUAGAUAUGAAAAAAAAAUGUCUAUAUCAAUUAUUCUUGUCAGACCAUUUUUAGCAGUUGCAGGUACUAUUAAUGAUGUUAAAAAUGACAAAUUUAAGUUUCAAAUAUGUAAAGAAGAGGUAAAAUUUAAUUUGAAUGAAAUAAAAAAAAUACCAUUUUUUUACUGAUCAUACUUGUUUUAUUGGCACAAUUGAUAAGUUAGUCAAAGAGUUAAGUCGAGUGAACUGUGACUUCGACCCUUUUGAGAUUUGUUUGAUGAGUUUAAAAUUGCAAGAGAGAGACUGUGAAGAAAUUAAAGAAUUGGCUAAAUAUUUAGAUUUUCAAAUAGCUUAUAAACGGGAUAAUGUUUAUGAAAAUCUUGAUCAAAGAAAAGAGCCCCCCACUAUCCUCGGAGAUUGAAGUUCCAAAAUUAGAACUCAAGUCGCACCCAAAUCAUUUAUGGUAUGAGUUUUUUUGGAGAAAAUAGCACUCUACCGAUAAUUAUUAGUGCUCACUUAGAUGAAGAACAAUGUGCAAAAUUGUUAAGGAUUCUAAGAAAACACAAGAAGUCAGUUGGACAGACAAUUUCGGAUAUCAAAGAUACAAGUCAUUAUAUAUGCAUGCACCGCAUAUUAUUAGAAAAAAAUCACACACUGGUGGUGGAAAUGCAAAGAAGGCUCAAUCCAAAUAUGAAAGAGAUGUAAGAAAUAAAAUUCUCAAACAACUUGAUUCAGGUAUAAUCUUUUUUUUCUCUAAUAGUAUUUGGAUAAGUCCAAAUCAUAUUGUCCCUCAAAAGAAUGGAAAAACUGUAGUCAUGGGUAAAAAUGAUAAAAUGAUUCCAUCUCAAUUCAUGAAUUGGUGGAGAGUGUGUAUAGAUUAUAGAAAAUUAAAUGUAGUUACUAGAAAAAAAUCACUUUUUCUUACCCUUUUUUGACCAAUUAUUUGAGCGAAUAGCCAGUUAUGAAUUUUACCGUUUUUCUAAUGAUUUUUCAGAUUAUAACCAAAUAUCUAUAAUUUCGGAGGAUCAAGAGAAUACCACAUUUACUUACCCUUAUGGUACCUUUGCCUUUAGAAAGAUGCCAUUUGAUCUGUGUAAAAUCCCUGCUACGUUUCAACGUUACACGGUGGCCAUAGUUUCUAAUUACAUUAAGAAAAUUAUGGAGAUAUUUAUGGAUGAUUUUUUGGUAUUUGGUUCAUCUUUUGGUCAUUAUAUUCAUACUUUAGAUUUGAUUUUACAGAGAUGUGAGGAGACAAAUCUUGUGCUAAAUUAGGAGAAAUGCUAUUUUAUGGUUCUAUAAAAAAUUGUCAGAAUCAGAUAAAGAUAAUAAUGACGAAACUAUAACCAAACCCGUGAUAGUAGAUCCCUACAAAACAUAUAAACUACCAAAUCUGUAAACUUUUAUUACAAUAAGAGCGCCUUUAGAAACCUUCAUAACGUCAUUUUUAGUUGUGUAUGUGCACCCAAGAACCUCCAGAGUGUCCAAAGAAAUGAGAUUCUUUUCAAAUCAAGAACAUGUCUAAUAUUAGUGAGCGUUCUCAAAAUACCAUUAUGUAUCUUAAUUCAAACUGUACCCUUACCAACAACAUCACAAACGACAUUAUUGCCCAUGAAAACAAUUCCACCAUCACAAGAUUCAUAAGUGAAAAAUAAAUCCCCAUUGGGACAUAUGUGAUAAGAGCACCCCGAAUCUAAAAUUCAUUCAUUUUUAAACCUUGUCCUAUCAUCAGUCACAAAAUAUUUAUUUUAUUCUCAUCAACUGCAGCACAAGUUUCGACAGUUUAGGUACUUUUUUCACUAGGUUUCCCCUUUUACUUUAAUCUUUUCAAUUUAAAGUAAUUUGCAUUAAUGUGUCUCAUUUUGUGAUAAUAAUUGCAUUCUAAAUUUUUGUGUCUGGGCUUAGAUCUAAAUUUAGAUCUACUACUGUCAAAUGUUUUUUAUUGGUUCUGCCCCUAACAACCAGACUUUCCCCCUGAUUCCCAAAUUUCUUGAGUAAUAUCCCUGUUUGUCUGCUCCUUAGAUUUUAAUGCAAAUUUAAUUUCACGAUACGAAAUUGUUUCUUUUCCAUAAAUCAUAGUAUUGUAAAAAUAUUUAAAAGUGGGAAAGGAAAUACAAAAGUAGCAGGGCCUGAUUUUCAACAUCAAUUUCAAAUCUAUAUUCUCAAAAUUCAUAAUAAUUGAAUCAAAUUUAUCAAGAUGUGAGAGUAUAGAUGUACUUUCAGUCAUGCGAAACAUAUACAAACUUUGUUUUAAAUAAAACCGAUUUUUAACUGUUUUCUUCAUGUACAAAGCCUUAAACUUGUCCCACGUGUCCUUUACCAAAAUUUCAGUGGUUAUCUCCCGCAAAACCUCAUCAAAGAGAUUUAAGAUAAUACUGGAUCUUGCCUUCUUAUCUAUUUUAGCAAAAUUUGUUUCUGUCACACUCUUUGACUUUUUAUGAAUUUCUUGUAUUUCUAAAUCAACUCCGUCUUGAACCAAAAUGCUCUCUAUAUUGAGCUGCCGUAUCCCAAAAUUGGCAUUCCUGUCAAAUUUUUUGACAAUAAUCUUUGUUAUUAUCAUUGUUGCCCCAAAAUUUAAACCUUCCGAAGAAGUUCUGAUAUUAGUUUGUUAGGUCUGGAUCCAGAAAAUUGACGAUAGGAUUUGUGAGAACCGGAAAAAAAAGAAAAAAAAUAUUUUUUUUAUUUUAGGCAUUAUUUUAUUCCUGUGCACAUUUAUAUUUUCUUCAUUAUAUUAACUUUAUAUCAGUAAAUAUAGUUUUGAAAUUAUUUUUCUAGUAUAAAUUAGUUCAUGAGAAAUUAGGAGUGUAUGUUGGACGUGGGACUCGCUAGUGCGUUAAGUGAGAGAAAUUCGGCCGAUUAGGUUAAGUUUUGCAUAAAGCGAUGUAAAUAUUAGGUGUUAGGAGAUAAUUAGAGGUUACCUAAAUGGAUUAACCAUGGGGAGACUAGAAAAUAACUUUAAACAACAACAAAGUGCCAAGUGUCACUUACUUAGUCAAAGUUAGACUUGCCUAACUUUCUUAACUUUACUAAAAGACCAAAUUUGACCCAAAUCAUCUUCAUUUUAUCUCCUUCUUGGCCGAACCUCAUCUUGAGAGAAAGAAAAGAAAGCUUCAACUAUCUCUUCCAUUUCUUGCACAAAUCUUGAAAUCUAACCGAUUAAACCUUGAAUUAGUCCACAAAAGUGACUUGCUAAGGGAGUUUGAAGAUCUUGGUGGAGUUGUUUUGGAAGCAAAACCCCUAAGCUACUACCUUUCUUAAGGAGUUAAGGUAUUUUGCUUGGAACUCACUCUUUGUCCCUAAUAAUGGUCAAUUGGUGACUUAUGGUAGCUAACUAAGUGAUUUUAUGGAAGAUUUCAUGGAUUAAAAUGGAGUUAGCCAAAUUUCUGAUUUUUUGAGAAUUUUUUUGUUUUCAUAUGAUGGUUAUGGUUAGCCUUGGAUUGAUAGCUCUAAAUUGUGUAAAAUGGAGCUUUUGUGCGUUAAUUGUGGUUAUUUGCGGAGAAUUUCCGCUUGUGCGGAAAAUUUCAGAUUUAGGGUUACUAAUUAGGGCUUUCUUAUGGUUGGUUGUUGAGCUUCUAAUUGGCUAUGAUUGAGGGGUAUUGUGACCCUAAUGAAGUGUGUUGAAUGGCUUAUGAAUUGUUUGUGUGCUUGUGGUUGCUUUGGAUGAAUUUCAAGGGUUGUUUGUAGGAUGGAAAAUCUGAAAUUUUAGGGGAAAUGCUGUCCAAAUAAUGAGGAUGUUGGAUUCUUGUGAGUUUAGGUUGAGGUUGGAUAGAAAUGAAAGAUUUUGGGGUUUGUUUCUACUUUUAGCUCUAAAUGUUAUGUAUUUUCCAUUUCAAGCUAUAUUUGGUUUUGCCUUAAUAGUUCAUUUAAGAGGUAUUUGAUUCGUGUCCGAGUCUCAAUUGUGCUUUCUUGAUUGUUAUAGGGCGUGCCGGUGAACCGAGGCUUACGUUGGGCGAAAACUUGUGAAAUUGCUUGUUUCAAUUGGUGAGUAUACCUUGUAUGGUUUAAUGCUUAAAUGAUUGUUUAUACUUGAUUCUGUGAACUUGGUUGACUUGAAUGAGACGAGAGUGUACUUCACCGCUCUUGUUCUCUUACUUGUGUGACUACUACUGUAUUACUGUAAAACUGUACUUGUGCAUGCUUUAAUGUCGAUUGGAGGGUUGUGUCCAACGACUCUAUUGUGAUAUCUGAGCUCUUACCUCAUUGGUCGUUAUUCGGGUCGAGCCGGCAAGGGCUUGGUCGGUUCGAUAACAAACCAUGAGUGACUGUUAGUCGAGUGGAGUGUUAUCUCCUCGACCCUGUGUAUACUCGAGUAUUACCUUUCUGUUGCUGUGAGGUAUUCGGGCCCGGUAAGGGAAAUGUUCGGUGGAAGGAAUGUGGUGUAAGGUGGGAUCUAUGGUCGUGUUCUUUACUCCAAACGUUGACGGAGUGUCGACGAGUUUGAGAUCAAGUACGACAAGUGGAAAGUGGCUCUUGAGAGCCGACCGUAUCCUUUUAACUUGGUUACGUGAUGAAAUUUCUUAUGUGUUCCUUGCCUAAUCAUGUUUAUCCUGGUGUGUCUUGUCGGUACCUCACGAGCGUAAGCUCACUCCAUUACCUUUGUUUUCCUUACAGGGUCAACUUUUGGAAACCAUGAUUUUGGAAUACUGAAUUGAGCUAGUAUAAAUACUUUUUGUAUAGCUCCUCGGGAGUUGAAAAACUCUAAAUGUACCCUGAUCCAAAUAUUUCCCUUUUGCUUUGUAAAUUGCAAACGUAUGUGUAUAACACUGUUUAAUCAUGUUCAUGUAUUAUAUUUGGUUUGGAAUGUUCAUUCUCUAGAAUGAUACCACGUUAUCUGUAUUCGAUUGGGUACCGACUGGAUGGUGACGUGGCAGUCACUAUUCACUUUCAGUGACUAUUUUCGUUUUCAGUUUUGUGAUUGUUGAAUCGUUUAGGAGCGCUAACAUCUAUAUUCCGAAUGUUUUGGUUUGUGUAUGACCGUCUUAGUAGUCCUGGCGAGAGUUGGGCAGGCAGUUCGCUAACCACUUUGGUACGCCUUAGGGGAAGGUGGGGCUGUCACAGUUGGUAUCAGAGUUUAGGUUAGAAAUAAUCUGGGCGAACCUGAAACCUGAUUCUUAGAACUUUUGGGGAUUGUGUUAGGGUCUAUUUAAGUAUGAUUACUUUGUCUAAGUUGUAAAUUGUGAAUAUCCUUAUAGGUCAUGGACGAAGCUAGUGGGAGCUAAGGUAGGCCGCCUCGGAGACGUUUUCGCGUCGUUGAUUACGAGGAUAGGCCCGGAGGACCGAUUCGGCGCUGGAGCACGGCCAGUCGGACUAGGCGCUGUGGUCGUUGCCAGCAUUAUUCCUAUGCUGACCAUGUGGUCGUGGCCGCGUUAGAUGAGAGGAGGAGCCUCAGGCGUGCCGCCGCCAGAGAUCACACUGAGCUGCAGCGUGUGAGGAGCAUUAUGAGGAUGCAGGCGGAUCACAUUCGGGAGCUCCAAGGGGAUGUAGUCAAAGAGCAGGAGCGGACGAAUGCUCUUAGAGAGCAGUUACAGGUAGCCAACGGCCGUCUCACUAGGACCGGUUCGGUGGUAUUAUUAACGAGUGUAAGGCGCUAAUCUAGGGAGUGAUUGGCGCUAAUAUGCCAGGGGGAGUUCCAGGCGACGGAGCUCCAGGCGAGGGAGGUGCUCCUAGUUCUAGUUCUGGGGAGGAGUCGGUUGGCUCAGUCGAGAACUAGGUUAGAGCUCCUUCGAGCUAUAUUUUGAUCCCAUGUGGGAAAUGGCUAGGGAAAGCUCCUAGUUAGCUAUUUUUGUGUUUUGACCUAGCUUUGUAUAUCUUACUUUUGGAUGCCCGCUACUUUCAUGGGAUUACUCUUGUAUAUAUUUGACUGACUGCUACUCUAUGACUUGUUUGACACAUCUGUGUGUAAUAUGUGUAAAUGUUUUGUUUGGUGUUUAUUUCUUGUUAUUUGUUUACGUUCUAUAUCGUUUUAAUAUUAUACCUGUGCUUCGACCCUAGAUUGGAUUAUAUCAAUGGAAGGUACUUGUAGUGGUCGGGGCCGAGGACGUGGUAUUAGGCAAUCUGCGACUGAGGGGGGUAGUUGGGAAACUGUGCCUGAACCCAAUCUUGAGCCUAGAAUUGAUCCUAAUGCCCAGGUAGCCGCUGCUAUUCAGCUCAUGACUGACUUGUUGUCCCACAUAGUGGAACACCAGGGCCAACCCCCUAUUCAUCAACCCAGAAGCUCGGGCAACCAUAUAGAGGGUGAGGACAAAGCCCUUGAAAGAUUUCAAAAGUUCCCCCCACCAAAGUUCCUGGGAGGGCCUGAUCCAGACGUGGCCGAACGGUGGUUGGAGAAGAUGAUAGAUAUCUUUGCAGUCUUACAUUAUUCGGAGGAGAGGCAGGUUACUUUUGCUGUCUUUCAGUUGGAAGGGGCCGCCCGGUCUUUGUGGAACGUGAUUCGAACAAAGUGGGAAAGAGAGCAAACACCAAAGACCUUAGUAAACUUCAUGAGAGAGUUUAACGCUAAGUAUUUUUCGCCCCUAGUUCAGGAAAAGAAGGAGGAUGAAUUCAUUAGGUUGCGCCAGGGAGCUUAAUCGAUGGCUGAGUAUGAGAACCAGUUUACUAGACUAUCCAAGUUCGCCCCUGAACUUAUUGUAACUGAGCAAAGAAGGGUGCGGCGAUUUAUUCAGGGGCUAAAUGUGGAAAUUCAAAAGGAUCUGGUGGUAGCUCAGAUUAAUACUUUUAGUGAGGCAGUUGAGAAGGCAUUGCGAGUUGAAAAUGCAAGACUUCAAGUGAGAAACUUCCAAGUGAGAAAACGGGGAUUUUCUGGAAGUAGUUCAGGGCAAAGUGAGAGAAGUGACCCUCCCAAGUUUGGAAAGGGAGCCGGAGGAGCAAGACUUUCGGGGAUGUCGAGGGGAACCCCAUCAAGGGGUGGUCCAGUAGGGCGAGGCCAGCAGAGGAGUGCCUCACAGGGGAGCUCAGCUUCUGUUUCUCGGGUCCUUGUGAAUUCUGUGGGAAACCAAACCAUACUGAGGAUAACUGUUGGAAGAAGGAAGGGAAAUGCUUGGGCUGUGAGAGUGCGGAGCACCAAAUUGCAAGUUGUCCAGUUCUAUCUCGAGAGGCAAGAGUAACUCCGUAAUCGUCGAAGACCAACUCGGGGCAAUCUAAGGUGGAAGGGACAAGACCAAAGGUGGCCGCUCGGGUGUAUUCCCUUGAGCAACGUCAAGUCCCUGAUUCAUCUAAGAUCGUGGAAGGUACGAUCCCUGUCUUUCAUCGUCUAGUUAGGAUUUUAAUAGACCCCGGUGCCACCCAUUCCUUUGUUAACCCUGAUUUUAUGUGCGAAAUUGAUAUAAGACCUGUUAGCUUGCUUUAUGACCUGGAAGUUAGUACCCCUACGGGGACCUAACGUUUGAUCACUAGUAAGAUGUAUGUUGAUUGUGAAAUUUGGGUAGGAGAGAGAAAGCUUUUGGAAAAUCUUAUAAACUUAACUAUUAAGGGGUACGAUGUUAUUUUGGGUAUGGACUGGUUAGCUAGGUAUGAUGCACAACUUGACUGUAAGUAGAAUUACGUAUACCGGGGGAGACGACUUUAAGGCUAGAUGUAAGGGGUAGCCUAGCCUCAUCUGCAUUGAUUUCGGGUAUUCGGACUAGGAAACUCAGAGGGGCGCAAGGGUUCUUAGCUUUUCUUAUAAAUCCUCCCACUGAUAAGUUGAAGGUAGAAGAUGUGCCGGUAGUGAUUGAAUAUCUGGAUGUAUUCCCUGAUGAAUUAGUAAUCUUACCACCGGAGAGAGAGAUAGAUUUCAAGAUAGACUUGUUACCGGGGACGUCACCUAUCUCUAAAACCCCAUAUCGGAUGGCACCUGCUGAGUUUAAGGAGUUGAAAUUGCAGUUGCAAGACCUUUUGGAACGAGGGUUUAUUCGUGAGAGUGGAUCUCCUUGGGGAGCCCCUAUGCUAUUUGUGAAAAAGAAAGACGGGACCUUGAGGUUGUGUAUAGAUUAUUGGGGAUUAAACAAUAUGAUCAUUAAGAAUAAAUACCCACUGUCCCAUAUCGAUGAAUUGUUUGACCAGUUGCAAAGAGCAGUGGUCUUUUCGAAAUUAGAUCUCCGACAGGGUUUUUAUCAGUUGUUAAUUCGGAAAGAGGACGUACCAAAAACUGCCUUCAAUUCUAGAUAUGAGCAUUGUGAAUUUUCCGUUAUGCCCUUUGGAUUGACCAAUGCCCCUGCCGUCUUUAUGGAUUUGAUGCAUCGAGUUUUCAAACCCUACCUGGACCGAUUUAUCGUUGUGUUUAUCGAUGAUAUUCUGGUCUACUCAAAAACCCAAGAGGAGCAUGAGCAACAUUUGAAGCUAGUCUUGCAAACCCUAAGAGAUCAUCAGCUAUACGCUAAAUUUAGUAAAUGUGAAUUCUGGCUGGAGAAAAUUUCUUUCUUGGGGCAUGUGAUUUCGAAAAGGGUAUUACGGUAGAUCCGGCGAAAGUAGUGGCCGUAACUGAAUGGAAGAGACCUGAAACUCCUAUUGAAGUGCGUAGCUUUUUAGGAUUGGUUGGGUACUAUAGGCAUUUUAUUCAGAACUUUUCCAAGAUUGCCGGUCCUUUGACCAAUUUAACCAAAAAAAAUGGCCGUUUUCUGUGGGACACUAGGUGUGAAGGUAGCUUUCAAGAAUUGAAGAAAAAACUAACCGUGGCCCCUAUUCUCACUUUGCCUAAUGGAAAGAAUAGUUUCACUGUUUAUACUGAUGCGUUAAAGGAAGGAUUGGGGUGCGUGUUGAUGCAGAAUAAGAAUGUAAUAUCGUUUGCCUCUAGGAAAUUGAAACCUCACGAGCAAAACUACCCUACUCAUAACUUGAAAUUAGCGGCCGUAGUCUUUGCCCUGAAAAAGUGGAGACACUACUUGUACGGGGUAAUUUUUUAGGUUUAUUCUGACCAUAAAAGCCUUAAGUAUCUGUUUUCUCAAAAAGAAUUGAACAUAUGGCAGCGACGAUGGAUGAAAAUUUUGGAGGACUAUGACUGUAAGAUUAACUACCAUCUGGGAAAAGCGAAUGUAGUAGCUGAUGCCUUAAGUCGGAAGGCUCAAAUAGCUGGGCUAAUGGUCAAAGAAUGGAAGAUGUUGGGAGUGGUUAGUGAGUGGAACCCUAAUUUGGAACGUCAAAAGGUGACCUUUGGGAAUAUCCGGGUAACAUCUACUAUUCUUGGUCGAAUUAAAGAAGCCCAAGAGAAGGAUCCGAUGGUACAAAAGUGGAAGGAAAAGGUAGAGAAGGGAGAAUUACCUGAUUUCGAUUUGAGUCCUGAAGGGAUUUUAAAAUAUAGGAACCGAGUAGUAGUGGCCAAGGAUGAAACAUUGAAAAGGGAGAUUUUGGAGGAAGCCUAUCGAUCGAAAUAUACAAUUCACCCGAGUAGUAACAAGAUGUACCAAGAUCUGCGAAGGUUGUAUUGGUGGGAUAAAAUAAAGAGGGAGAUUGCUCAAUAUGUACAAUCCUGUUUAGUCUGCCAGCAAGUUAAGGCUGAACGCCAAAAAUUCUCUGGAUUGUUACAACCUCUUGAGAUACUUGAAUGGAAGUGGAAAAAUAUCACAAUGGACUUUGUUUCUGGAUUGCCAAGGACACAAAAGGGAUAUGAUGCUGUUUGGGUGAUCGUUGAUCGGUUAACCAAAUCAGCCCAUUUCUUGCCUGUGAAUAUGAAGUAUUCCCUAGAGAAGUUGGCUCGACUGUAUAUGAAUGAAAUUGUGAGAUUACACGAAAUUCCAGUGAGUAUAGUUUCCAACCGAGAUCCUCGUUUCGUGUCAAGAUUUUGGCAAAAGUUUCAAGAGACCUUAAGAACUAAACUCAGCCUUAGUACUACUUAUCACCCCCAGAUGGAUGAACAGUCUGAACGAACCAUUCAAACCCUUGAGAAUAUGCUAAGGACUUGCAUCUUAGACUUUGGGGGUAGUUGGGGCCAACACAUGACCUUGGUGGAGUUUGCCUACAAUAAUAGUUACCACUUGUCGAUCCAAAUGGCAUCAUACGAAGCGCUUUACGGAAGGAAGUGUCGUUCACCCAUAUAUUGGGAUGAAGUAGGGGAAAAGAAGGUCUUGGACCCAACAGCCAUUCCGUGGAUGGAGGAUACUCAAGAAAAGGUUAAAUUGAUACGUCAGAGACUCCAAACAGCUCAAAGUCGCCAAAAGAACUACGCGGAUAACCGAAGGAAAGAUUUGGAGUUUGAAAUUGGAGAUCGUGUUUUCCUUAAGAUCACACCCUUACGAAGUGUCACCGCGGGUAGAGGAAAGAAACUUCAACCACGAUUCGUAGGACCCUUCAAGAUUCUCCAAAGGGUUGGAAAAGUAGCGUAUCGACUCGAGUUGCCGCCAAGUUUAUCCCGAAUUCAUGACGUCUUCCAUGUCUCAAUGCUUAAAAAGUACUAUCCUGAUCCAACCCACAUUGUACAACCAAAGGAGAUUGAGAUAGAUGAAGCACUCACCUACGAAGAGAGACAUGUGCGAUUACUCGAUCGAAGGAUUAAGGAACUGAGAAAUAAACAAAUCCCAUUAGUGAAGGUUUUGUGGAGGAAUCAUGGAAUAGAAGAGGCCACUUGGGAGGUGGAGGAGGAGAUGCAAAAGAGAUACCCUGAGCUGUUUAGUAACCCAGGUGAGAAAUUUCGAGGACGAAAUUCUUUAAGGGGGAGAGAGUGUGAGAACCGGAAAAAAAGAAAAAAAAGGAAGAAAAGACAAAAAUGAAAAAAAGAAAUUUUUUUUUUUAUUUUAGGCAUUAUUUUAUUUCUGUGCACAUUUAUAUUUUCUUCAUUAUAUUAACUUUAUAUUAGUAAAUAUAGUCUUAAAAUCAUUUUUCUAUUAUAAAUUAGUUCAUGAGAAAUUAGGAGUGUAUGUUGGACGUGGGACCCGCUAGUGCAUUAAGUGAGAGAAAUUCGGCCGAUUAGGUUAAGUUUUGCAUAAAGGGAUGUAAAUAUUAGGUGUUAGGAGAUAAUUAGAGAUUACCUAGAUGGAUUAACCAUGGGGAGACAAGAAAAUAACUUUAAGCAACAACAAAGUGCCAAGUAUCACUUACUUAGUCAAAGUUAGACUUGUCUAACUUUCUUAACUUUACUAAAAGACCAAAUUUGACCCAAAUCAUCUUCAUUUUAUCUCCUUCUUGGCCGAACCUCAUCUUGAGAGAAAAGAAAAGAAAGCUUCAACUAUCUCUUCCAUUUCUUGCACAAAUCUUGAAAUCCAACAGAUUAAACCUUGAAUUAGUCCACAAAAGUGACUUGCUAAGGGAGUUUAAAGAUCUUGGUGGAGUUGUUUUGGAAGAAAAACCCCUAAACUACUACUUUUCUUGAAGAGUUAAGGUAUUUUGCUUGGAACUCACUCUUUGUCCCUAAUAAUGGUCAAUUGGUGACUUAUGGUAGCUAACUAGGUGAUUUUAUGGAAGAUUUCAUGGAUUAAAGUGGAGUUAGCUAAAUUUCUGAUUUUUUGGAAAUUUUUCUGGUUUCAUAUGAUGGUUAUGGUUAACCUUGGAUUGAUAGCUCUAAAUUGUGUAAAAUAGAGCUUUUGUGCGUUAAUUGUGGUUAUUUGCGGAAAAUUUCCGCUUGUGCGGAAAAUUUCAGAUUUGGGGUUACUAAUUAGGGCUUUCUUAUGGUUGGUUGUUGAGCUUCUAAUUGGCUAUGAUUGAGGGGUAUUGUGACCCUAAUGAAGUGUGUUGAAUGGCUUAUGAAUUGUUUGUGUGCUUGUGGUUGCUUUGGAUGAAUUUCAAGGGUUGUUUGUAGGAUGAAAAAUCUGAAAUUUUAGGGGAAAUGCUGUCCAAAUAUUGAGGAUAUUGGAUUCUUGUGAGUUUAGGUUGAGGUUGGAUAGAAAUGAAAGAUUUUGGGGUUUGUUUCUACUUUUAACUCUAAAUGUUAUGUAUUUUCCAUUUCAAGCUAUAUUUGGUUUUGCCUUAAUAGUUCAUUUAAGGGGUAUUCGAUUCGUGUUCGAGUCUCAAUUGUGCUUUCUUGAUUGUUAUAGGGCGUGCCGGUGAACCGAGGCUUACGUUGGGCGAAAACUUGUGAAAUUGCUUGUUUCAAUUGGUGAGUAUACCUUGUAUGGUUUAAUGCUUAAAUGAUUGUUUAUACUUGAUUCUGUGAACUUGGUUGACUUGAAUGAGACGAGAGUGUACUUCACCGCUCUUGUUCUCUUACUUGUGUGACUACUAUUGUAUUACUGUAAAACUGUACUUGUGCAUGCUUUAAUGUCGAUUGGAGGGUUGUGUCCAACGACUCUAUUGUGAUAUCUGAGCUCUUACCUCAUUGGUCGUUAUUCGGGUCAAGCCGGCAAGGGUUUGGUCGGUUCGAUAACGAACCAUGAGUGACUGUUAGUCGAGUGGAGUGUUAUCUCCUCGACCUUGUGUAUACUCGAGUAUUACCUUUUUGUUGCUGUGAGGUGUUCGGGCCCGGUAAGGGAAAUGUUCGGUGGAAGGAAUGUGGUGUAAAGUGGGAUCUAACUUCAUGUUCUUUACUCCAAACGUUGACGGAGUGUCGACGGGUUUGAGAUCAAGUACGGCAAGUGGAAAGUGGCUAUUGAGAGCCGACCGUAUCCUUUUAACUUGGUUACGUGAUGAAAUUUCUUAUGUGUUCCUUGCCUAAUCAUGUUUAUCCUGGUGUGUCUUGUCGGUACCUCACGAGCGUAAGCUCACUCCAUUACCUUUGUUUUCCUUACAGGGUCAACUUUUGGAAACCAUGAUUUUGGAAGACUGAAUUGAGCUAGUAUAAAUACUUUUUGUAUCGCUCUUCAGGAGUUGGAAAACUCUAAAUGUACCCUGAUCCAAAUAUUUCCCUUUUGCUUUGUAAAUUGCAAACGUAUGUUUAUAACACAGUUUAAUCAUGUUCAUGUAUUAUAUUUGGUUUGGAAUGUUCAUUCUUUAGAAUGAUACCACGUUAUCUGUAUUCGAUUGGGUACCGACUGGAUGGUGACGUGGCAGUCACUAUUCACUUUCAGUGACGAUUUCCGUUUUCAGUUUUGUGAUUGUUGAAUCGUUUAGGAGCGCUAACAUCUAUAUUCCGAACGUUUUGGUUUGUGUAUGACCGUCUUAGUAGUUCUGGCGAGAGUUGGGCAGGCAAUUCGCUAACCCCUUUAGUGCGCCUUAGAGGAAGGCGGGGCUGUCACAGGAUUUUUGGCAAUCCUAAAAGAUAAAUAACAAAGAAAAAUAAAUAAAACAGGAAUACAUAAAAUUUAUAUGAUUCGGUCAAAUAGACCUACGUUCACGGGUGGAGUAAGAGCAAAAUUUUACUAUGAAUAACAGAAUACAAAAAUGUUUUAGACAAGCAUUUUUAAAUCCAAAGCACCUAAUACUUGAAACACAAAAGAACCCAAAAAUAUUUUAUUAAACAAAAAGAUUUAAUGAUUCAAGGCCCAAAAUAACCCACUAAAACUCUCUUAAUUUGAUGCAUCUGAUUCCAUCACAGGUUUAUUAUAUUUAUAGGCAGCUAAAGGAAAGACUCCCUUAUACAAAAGACAGGUGGAACAAAGUCACUUUAACACUUUUUUUUUUUUAUCAAAAAUGCAGAAUUGGCAACAACAAUAAUUACAGUCACGCUUUGAACUUUCUUGCCUGCCCUUACUGUACAUUUUUCUACAAUGCAUGUUUGACGGUUGACAUUUUUUUUUCCAGCAAAAUAGCAUUUUAUCGAUCUGAGCAAAACCGUACAGAAUGUACUUAUUCCCUCAAACAUAUCAAACGUGUAAAACCUUAUCACUGCGUCAUGUGAAACAUAUUUGACCCGUAAAACAUAAUAAACGAUGCCCCAAAAGAAUCAUCCCCACAUAACGAGAGCAAAAUUUCACCAGGUCAGAAUGUAUUAUAGAAAUUUAUCUUAAAAAAUUUACAAUACCAGGUCAAUUUUAUCUUAAAAAUUAUGAGGACUAUUGCCAUCCAAUUGACGUUGACUAACUGCCUGCAGUCACAAACUUACAACAGAUACUAAAUCACUAACUUGAUCACAAUAGUCCAGUCACAAACUUGACAACAGAUACUUGUUUUUUUUAUUAGAGAACGUGAGGAACGUGAGGAGCUAACCAUGUCGAAAUCAAAAUAACACAAUACUAAAUCAAUUUCAUUGGGUGAAGCAACCUCUUAACUACUGUUCUUUCUGGGAAUCAAGAUUUUAAAAGUCAAGAUAUCCUCGAAUUCUUGGAUAAGAUCAACAGUAUUGGUAAUCACCCUUCCGUGUAUGCUUUCUCAUCUAUGUUUCUAGUAACCUCAUUUUCGUUCCUCUGUGAUGACAAGCUGUUCUGGAAAUAAUAAUCAUUUGACCACAUGAUUAAAAAUCACUAAUGCAUUGCCAUAUAAAGUAAUCUCUCACCAUCUUACCUUCAUUUGAUAAUUACAUUUUAUUUCCUAACCAUUCUAAUUUGUAAUUCAAUUUGACUAAUGAGUAUUCAAUGGACACUCGUUAAAAGAAAUUCGUAUUAGUUUUUUGAAAAAAAUAUAGUUUAUUUGUAAAAGUAUAGCAAUUCGAGAUGUGUAAUAUAAGUGUGUAUGCGUAUUUAUAUAGCAAUUUAGGUGUGGUCAUUAGCAAAAUUUUUCCUAAUUAAGCCUUUACUUAGUAACUGGCAUUUCUAGCCAAAUAUAGAUUGCGUGCCAUUAAAAAAUUCUUCAAAGGGCGGUGUGUCUUUUCACACUGACCUUACCAAAGACGCGUCCCAUGAAUACGAGGAGUCAAAUGAAUUUACUUAUGGGGUACGUCACCACAUUUUUAGGCCUAUAAAUAUUAAAUACGAGGAGCCUGGUUCGUUAUUUUGAUGUGCCAAACUCAGCUACCAAGUUUUCGACAGUCACAACCAGUUACAAAUAUCCAUUUUCGUUCAUAUUAAUUAGCUAGCUAGUUCUCCAAGGGAAAAAAUGGCUGAAGCCAAAUCUGCUACUGUCACUGAUCAGGUGAAUAGUGAUUCGAUUGCCUAGCCAUACCUAGAUUUCCUUCUUUUUCAAGUUUGUGUGUGGUUUUGAGAAUCAACUCAUAAACAACUUGUAUUUGGAAAAGUAUGAGGAGUUGCAAAUUAAAGUAAUUUCAACGAUCUUGAAUUAUCUUAAGCAAUAUUUUACAUUUCUAGUUGUCUCCAUACAUAUGGGUAGGCGGUCUCUUGAAUUGUUUGAUUAAGCUUCUUCUGAGUGAUGUAUUUACUUACUGACUGAUCGGAUUUAGUCUUCUAAUUGUAUGUUUAUUUGAAAGCAUUCUAAUUGAUUUUGGGAACUCAAUUGUUUUGCGAUUUUCUUACUGGUUAAAAUGUUUGGGAUUUACAGAUCGACAUCAAUUCAAUACAACCAGUGGCGCCGGCUGACCCUCACGUGGUCGAGAUCGGACAAUUUGUAGUGGAAAAAUUUCACCACGGCAAGCUGCUUUUCAUCGCCGUGCUUGGCGGAUUCACGUGGAAAUGUGAGGGAGGCAAGUACUACGCACUUAUCAUCCAAAAUCAGGAUUAUGAGGGCGCCACAUUUAUCCAUAAAGCACUCGUUGUUGAGGCCAAAGGUGAAACGAAACUCCUCUGGCACAGGAAUUAAUCAAGCAUUACGAUUGAUCAGCUGAGCAUUACUAGUGUCUAUGGUGUGGUUUUCAGUUUAUGCAUGGAUGAUGUACCGCUGUAUUGUACUAGCAUCUUUCCACUAUUGUACUAGUAUGUUAAAUAAGGUGCACUUAUACCAACAAAAUGUACCAUUCCGUCUAUUUUUUAAUUUGUAUCCUUGUAAUUACAUGUAAAAGAUGCACUUUUACGAACAAAAGUGUACCAUUAGAUGAAUAAAAACAAUCGUCUGUUUUUGAGUUUUAUCUGUAUAUUUUGUUUCUAUGUUACUUCCAAGCAAGUUCCGAUCCCUGAAUUUGUAUGUCAACUACGUCCUAUGGUCUUGUUAGAUAUUUGGGUUGUCCUCCUAAAUCUGCUUUUAAUAUGAUAGAAUCUAUUUGUGGUAGAUUUUUUGUGGGGUUCCUCGGACGAGCAAAGGAACACGCCAGUUUCUAACUCGGAAUGGUCCAAGCUAGUUCAUUGAUCCAGCUCCCAGAGUAGAGCUGUCUGGUCCUGCCAUCACCAAACUAAGAACAUGUUUCCUUGAAACGCCCAUAGAGAAUGCUUUCUAGGAUCAACCAAAAAUGAUAAUAAUAACAGUAAAUGUACCUCCAUUUAGCCAUAAAACACGAGGCUUGUUAGAAGGAUUUUCGGACUCCGCAAAAUAGUAGAAGAGAGCUUUACCAGUCUUUGGAUCAACAGUAACAUACCCUGAAUAUUGAUAAAACUUUAACCCUUUUGGUUGCCCCGGCAAUGCCACUACUUUGUCGGCCGCCUGCCAAACCCUCUUGAGGACCAAUAUAAACUGGCGUGUUCUCAUGUCCUGAAUCCUCAUCAUUUACGUAAUUGUCUAGUUGAUGGGUGUCGAAACCACCGAAAACAAAAUUCCUACUCCAAAAAGAUAUACUUUUGAGUACAAUGGUGAGUGGAGUCAAAAAAUAAUAAUGUAAAAUUAAAUAAAAAUAAUUCAAUAAAAGAUAAAUCUCUAGUCAAAAAUCUAAUCACCACUUUAGUUUAAUUAACUAAUCGUUGAUGCAUGGAUAAAAUCAUUUAUUUAUAAAUUAGUUAUGGCUGUCAACAAAUUUUGAGAACCUACCUACCUCUCCUUGCUACCCUCGAUAACCACAGCAAAUUUUGUGAUUAUUACUCUUGCCAAUUAAACAACCCUAGUCUAACUUUUAGGAUUUAACAUAUUGACAACAUUAAUUAUUACAAAAGCUACCCAUAUUGAUAACAUUAAUUAUUACAAAAGUUGCCAGUUCUAACCAAUAAACACAUUGGUUCUGUUUAUUUAGAUUCGAUUAUAUAUUUUCGUGACCUAUAUUAGAAAAUUUUUACUACAAUCAAAGUAUAUCACUUGCCAUAAAUACUAAAACCAUCAAAUAAUUAUAGAUUUGAUGAUUAGAUGCAAUAGAUAUUUCGAUAAUUAAAUAAUGGCCAACUAUUUAAUCAUAUAAAAUAAUCAUAUUAGGAACUUGAGAAGUUCGGUAAAAUUUUCAUUCCCUCAAAGGUUCAAGCCAAAUAAAUUUGAUAAGGAUUUUGAGAAGUUUGCUAAAAUUUUUAAACAAAUGCAUAUUAAUAUCCUUUUUGCCGAUGCUAUUUUCAGAUUCCUUCUUAUGAAAAAUUUCUCAAGGAAAUCAUGAUCCGAAAUAGAAAAUUGGAGGAUUAUGAAGCAAUAGCAUUAACGGAGAAGUGCAGUGUCAUCAUACAAAAUAAGCUACCACCAAAAUUGAAGGAUCCAGGGAAUUUCUUUAUACCAUGCAUGUGAGGACCAGAAAAAAAUUUUAUUUUUUUUAAAUUUUUCUCCUAUUUUUGAAAAAAAUUAAUUUAUAUUUCCUUUUAUUUUACUUUACUUGCUUAUUUACUAGUCUUAAUUUGAUUGUGAUUUUAAAGGUUAAAUUAAGAUUUUUCUUUUUUCCCUUUUAUAAUCUUGAUGUAUGCUAAGUUUCGUAGAGUAUUAUGGUAGUUUAACUGACCAGUGAGAUGUGCGCAUUAUAUUUGGUGGACGAGAAUGGAUGUGAUACUAGAGGAAUUAUGUGAUUAGAAGUGUUAAGAGUGUAUUAGAAGAAUACAAGAUAGAUUGGUUAUAAGAGAAAUACAAGAGAGACAAAGGGAUAGACAUGAAACCAAAGCUCGACAAGUGUCGUGCAUUCAUGAAGUCUUGACCAAGACUUAGACCAAGAGAAGUCUUGUGUUUAUCUUUCAAAAUUGACUCAAAAACCUUCACUUUCUUCUUCGUUGUGGCCGAACUUAAGGGAGAGAGAGAAGAGAGAAAACUUUCAAAAAAUCCUCUUGAUUUCAUUGCUUAAUUUGUGAAAAAAUCGAAGAUCAACCCUAAUCUGCUCCAUAAAACCUUGAGUUAAUCUUGGAAUGAAACUUUUGGUGGAAUCAUUUGAGGAAGAAAGUUCUUAUCUUACAAUUUAUCUUGGGAUUUUGAGGUAUUAUACUAAGAACCUCUCUUUUUCUUUCUUAUUUUGCCAUUUAAGCAACAUAUAACUUGAUUAGGAUGGAUUUCAUAGAAGAAUUCAUGGUUUUGCUUAGUAGGUUGCAAUUUUCAGCUUUAAAGUAUAUUGUUCAGCCUUGAUAUGAAUGGUUUAGUUUUGAUAUGAGGUUGGAUAUAAAAUUUUAGCUUUGUUAUGAGGUUAUCUAGCUUCUAUAUUCGAAUUUCCAGCUUUGAUUUAUAUUUUCCAGCCUUGACUUGAGAGUUUCCAGCUUUGAUGUGGACUUAUGAGUUUGGAUAUGAAGAUAUCUAACUUGAACAUGCACUUCUAGCUUUGUUAUAUGAUUUUUCUAGCUUUAGUGGUCAAUUUCCUGCUUUGAGAUGAAAAAUUUCAGCUUUGGUGUAAGUGAUUUGGAGCUUGAUAUAUAUGUUCAAAGUUGAUAGUUUUGUGGCCUAAAGUAUGCACUAUUUGUCCCCUAUAAUAUGUGGCCUUGAUUGAGAUUCAUUUACCAUGAAACUAGGAUUUGAAUUGGAUGGUUAACUUAAAGAAAUUUGGGGACAUAUUGCUGGAUUUUCUCCUUGUUGGUCAAGUGAGGGUUGAGGCAUAAAUUUAGGGCAUUUUUGUUUUCCUCUUGCAUAUGAUUUUACUCAAAACACUUGUUACAAUCUAUUUCUUUGCAUGUGCAUUAGUUUCGAGCCAAGACAAGAGGUUUAAAUGAAAGGAAAUGAGUUUUAUCAAAUAAUUUUCUAGUUGGACAAUUUCCAACUUUGCACCUUGAAAGUCUUGACAUAAUUUCCUCAAACUUUUGACUAUAAUCGAUGCUUGUGUGCUCCAAAUGACUCUUGAAACAUGGAUUUAGUAUGCACACGAGGUUUUCCCCUUAAUUUGAACAAGAAAAUGUUAUAUUUUUUACUAGUUAUAUGGGGAUAAAACUUGUGAACUAGUGUAUUUUCUAAAUGAAGUUUUGAACCCUCAAUUUCUUCAUUGUAUUUUGACUUUGUUUGCUAGUCUUUUAAUAUAGUGUAUGACUACAGGACUCAAGAAAUUUCAAGAGGACAAACUGCUGUUGAAGUGAAAGAUUACAAUUGAUUGGUUAGUGUUCUUCGCAUGUUGUGCUUUAAAUAACUAUGUGGAAUGUUUGUUUGAAUGUCAAAUACUUUUUAAUGAUUGUUAAAUAGAUUUUCAAUGGGUGAGUGUGUACUUUAUUACACUUAACCCAAAGUGAAAGUGCAUUUUCAAUGAUUGAAUGUUAUUUGUGCAUGAAUGUAAGCCUUUAACUGAAUUGGACCCUUACCCUUCGUUGCCAGUCGACUCGAGUCAGAAGCAGACUCGAUCGGGUGGCUGGUGACCCUAUGACAGUAUUUGGUAUACUCAAGUAUGACCACGAAAUUGGAUGGAGUACUAGCCAGUGAAUGCAAUGCAAUGAUUGAAAUGAAUAACUGAAUAAAAUGAACACUGAAGGAGUUUUCACUUUCAAAUAUUUUUAAAUGUUGGAGGGAUAAGCGAAAUGGAUGAUGAAUGAAUGACCGAAUGAAUGGCUUCAAUUGAGUAGUAUCAUUUCAAUGAUUGAAUGAUUGCUUCGUGAAUGACUUGCUUAUUGUUGUGCAAAGUGUAUAAUUGUCAAUUGUAACAUUUCUGUGCUUUAUCUACCUAACUGCUUGUUUGGGAACCUCACUGGAUUUUUUGCUCAUUCUAUUAGUUUGUUUUCUUUACAGGAGUGGAGGCCGAAACAAGUAAGCGUGAACUAGUGUAGAUAAUCUUCAUGUGCUUGUACAUGAAAAUUAUAAUCUUCAUGUACAAUCUUCAUGUACUAGUGUGUAGAUGGAAUGUAUUUGGGAUAUUUAGUAAUGUAAUCCUAUAUUGCACUUUUAAAUUGUAAAUUAAGUUAGAAUUAUUAGUUGAAUUGGGAACUUUUAUGUUAAUCUAGAGACGUGAAAGAUUAUUUCAAGAAUGUUAGCGAGUGAGUCCUGACGAGAGUUGGGCAGGCGGUCCGCCCAACCCUUGGAUUUGUCCUAGAGAGAGGUGGAGUCGUGAUAGGUGUUGAAUCUGUGCAAUAAUAAUAAAUAAAACCUAACUACCACUUGAAACAGUCAAUAAUCAAUUCUAGUACUGGAGCAGGGACCCUAGGUGUGCAAUGAGUUACUUGAUUCACCUUGUUCCCGAAGAGUUUGCUUAAUCCGAUAUUCCAAAAUUAAUUAUUUAACUGAAUUCACUAACUAGUAGACAGUGGCAAGCAGGGUCGUCUUCUCAGGGACUGGAGAGAAAUUUGUUUCUUUUCGAGUCAAGACAAAUGGGGGUUUUCAGGAUUAAAUGCUAACUAAAUGAAUUAAAUGCAGAAAAUAAUUAAUUAAAAGAAAUAAUUGGGAGAACUCUAGCCAAGGGUACACUUCAGAAAUGGUUCAUGCACUGAUCAUUGAUUCACAUAUAAUUCCAACAUUUAUUAAUAGAUUAGUCAUAGUUGUCAUGCACGCGAUAAACAACCAACCUUUCCUUAAUUUCUCGAUAGUUAAGGCACAACCGUUAACUAUUUCUUUAACCCGGAAACAACCCUAGGUACCACCGUAGGAUUUAAUUUCUAGAUUGCAUUAAUAAUUAGAAAGGCUCAAUCCUAACUAACAAACACACUACGAGAGUUUGUUUAAAUUAGAUUGUAUGUUUCCCUGACAUAAACCCAAUUAUGCCAGUUGCAACUGAGAUGGGGAUAACCGAACAAUUACGGAUUCAAUUACGUCUAAUUAGAAAAAUAGCCUAUGUGAAUAAUUAAUUAUUGCGCACUAAUCAAUCGUACACAAGAGCUAUAACAAUUAAAAGAAGGAAACAUAUAAAUACCAAUAAAUGGAGAAAACAGUUAAAAUAAUUUAGAUCUCACAGGAAUUGUCGAACCAAAUCGUCAGAUGCCCCCUUGACUAGAAAACAAUAUUAGUUACUCUCUAUUGAGAGUAACUCACGCAAUUCCAUUGAAGGAAAUUGCGUUACUGUUUUACAAUAGAAAAAAAAAAACUACUCAGAGGAGAAGAGAGCCAAGCGGCUGCCGUCCUUUUCUUUUCUUAUUCCCUCGCCGGGUAGUAAUCACGCGGGAUCCGGCUUUUUCUCCCUCAAAUCCGUGCAAAGGAAAUCAAAGACAAGAAAAAUUGCUGCUUCCUCUUUUGUCUCCAGCCUCUUGAAAGAGAGCUAAUCUCUCCCGAAUCAUAAUCCCUAUUUUUUCUCCUAAUUGGUUGGUAUCUUGAUACCAAUCAACUUUCUAAAAAGAUUCCUAUCACAAUUUAAUUUCCUAAAAACUCUCCAAAUCAUUUGAGGAUGAUCUCGCUAAAUCGGGAAGGUCCUGAUAGCUAUCAAAUUAUGAAAUUGAUUCAGAUUUGGAGAUUGCCCAAUAUCAAUCCCGACUUUUCAGUUUUGAGCAGUGAACUUAGGCGCGCACCCGUGCAACCAUCAGAUGUUUUUCACUAGAAAAUCUCCAUUUAAUCACAUUUCAUUCCCGCUCCUGAAAUAAGCACAAAAUACCAAAUAUAAGUAGAAUCCGACAAUUAAAAUAAUAUUUGGCUAAAAUCAAGGGGAGAAUAAUUAUAAAUUUAGCAACAAAUUAUGACCUAUCAAUUUCCUCCACACCUAAACCAUACUUGUCCUCAAGCAUGAGAACACAAAUCAAGUAAUCAAAUUCAAACAAUGGUAUUACUCAAAUCUUCCAUUGCCAAGAUAUAAUUAAGACAUAUGUCAAGUAUUAGUGGCAAUUUUCAAGAAAUAUCUCUCCAGUUAGCUUUCAAGAUUAAGGACUCUUUCAAUUUAUGACUAACUAAUUUAAGAUUAUAAAAUAUUCAACCAACAUCCAUAAGCAAAUGGUUCGACUAUUAAGCAAAAUCUCAACAUUAAAAUUCAUGGAUCAGCGGGCUAACAAUUCAUUCAAACACUUCCACAUUUUUCACUAUUAGCACUUUUUUUUCUAAAAUAUCCCCACACUUGAUUGAUUUUUUUUUUCUUUAGGGGGAAUGUUUAGUCUUUAGCUAUUUAAGCGCUUUGACGCGAACUCCGACAUUGGUCAAAUAAAGGAGUCCGGUUACUCAACUUUUAUCGCUAAAGGACCACAUACUCAUAAUUAUCGUCGCUUUUUGACCCGAAAGUCGACACUUGUGGUGAAGACCUCUGGUUACUAGGCAACGACACUAGCGAAGUAUAGCUGAAUACUAUUCAUAAAUAAACACCAAAUUAAAAUUAAAAAUCACACAAACCCGCUUCGUUUCUGAAACACGGAGAACUAAAAUAAUAGCUGAACCAAUUUGCACAAAAAAUGCUAGACAAUAUUUACAAUACUUAGAGAAAUUAACCAAAAAGUGUAAAAGUCACAAAAUCUCAAAUAUUCAUCAAAGAGAUACCCUUAAAUUUAACCAUGUCAUACUUAACACUUUAGAAUGUAAAAUCUCAGCAAUAGAAAAAUUUGAAACAUCUAACCAUCAUUUAUCAGAAACAAUCACAAAUAUGCACAAGAUAGAUAAAAUUUGGAUAAAAUUUGACAAAGUCAAACAAAAAAAAAUUCCAAUAAAAAUGUCUAUACUUGCACUUUUACAAUAAAAUACCAAUAUACUACUCCCCCCACAUCUAAAUCUUACAUUGUCCCCAAUGUAAGAGAUAAAGAAUAGAAUAAGAAACAAAAGGGACAACGAAACUUCCCUGAUCACGCAAUGGAGGGUCUCAAGCAGUUAUGGCAUAGGUGGGAAUGGUCGGUUCUUCCUUUUAUCCUUUGUUUGAGCAAAGAUGAGAACAGGCAGUAAGGGACUGAAGAGAGGGAGAACGCUAGCGGUGAACGAUGGCUAGCAGCGGGGGCUGAACGAAGACGGCGGCUGGAGCGAACUGGGAAGGUGCUCGGUGCGGUGGCGACGGAGCAGCGGCGGACAGUAAAGCGGGCGAAGGCAGCAGCGGGAAAGGGGACAAAAAGGGAAAGAAAGAAAAAGAAAAAAAAAGAGAAGAAAGAAGUAGAACCAUGGGUUUUUUUUUUUUUUUUUUUUAAUAAAGGAACCCCUGUGUCAAGCGUGGGCACACCUAACUGCCUUCGAGUCUUCUGACCAACCAUCCGAAAUUAAGAUCCUUAAGCGUGACCACUUGGCGGGGGCAUGCCUAAUUACUAGAGAGUCUUCUGACCAAUUUUUAAAAAUUGAGUUCCUUAGACGUGGGCACUUGGCGUGGGCACGCCUAACUACUAUAGAGUUUUCUGACCGCAGACGAAAAUUGUCUUCCUUAAGCCUGACCAUCUGGCGUGGGCACGUCUAACUAUUGGAGAGUCUUCUGACCACAGAAAAAUACUUGCAUUCCUCAGGCGUGCCUACUAGACACGGGCACGCCCAACUACCAGCUUCCUGCCACAAAAACAACAAAUCACUAAAUGCAACUAACACUUAACAAAAACUCCAAAAAUAUAAGGAAACUAAAAUAAAGGCCUUGGGUUGCCUCCCAAGUAGCGCCUUUCUUUAAUGUCUUUGGUUAGAUAUUGCCAUGUUUAUUCAUGGGGGAUAAAACCGUGCAACUCGUUUCAGUGCUUCAUCUUCUAUGCAGUGCUGAUAUCUCUCGUAAAUAAAAUAAUCCUUAAACCCACGAGAUAUGGUCUUCCAUGGAUUAGUAGAUGACGCCAAACAAAUAAGUAGUGACCUUAAUUCUUCACUCACUCCUCCAUCACGAGCACUUACUGGUUCGAGAUAUUUUGCCAUUGCAACUCUUAACUUAUUCCUGUCAUGAAACUCAAAAUCUUUUGGUAUAAUAAAAUCAAUUUCACUAACAAGAAUUAAAGAAUAAGAGUUAGGAAAAUAUUUAUUAAGAAAUGGAGGAGAUGUUACCGCCUUUGGAGAUUGUUCACUGGAUUCAUUCACUUGAACCAUUUGACGUUAGGGUCUCAUUUCUUGCACUUUAACUUUCUUUUCAACUGCGUAUUUAGAUCUUUCUUCUUGAGACUCUUGCAGUACCAUGUCAUUCGUCAGGAUAAUUGCACUCUCAUCUUUCUCAUGGUUGAUAAUAGUCUGUGAGGGCAAUUCGUCACACAUUCGAGAAGUCAAUUGCGUUAUCCUAGAUGUCAAUUGAUUCACUUGAUCUGUCAGGUUACGCAUGCUCGCUUGUGUCUCCUGAUAAAAAUUCAUUAUCUCUUGAUGAAAAUUCAUUGUCUCCUGUUGAAGUUGAUGUGUGUUAGAAACUAUUGAUUUUAUCAUUUUUUCAAGAGACAUACCUGACAUGGAUAAUGGCUGUUGAGACUCUUGCUGUUGAAAAUCCAUUGGCCUGGUUGCAUAACUAAAAUUGGAAUCAUCCCACCAUCCUUGAUCAUACCCGUUUGAAUAAGGGUCAUACUACGUUUGAUAUUGAGGUGAAAAUUUUUCAAAAGUAUCGAUUGGAGCACUUAGACCAUCUUAAAAUACAGGGCACAUGUCGGUUGAGUGAUCUAAGGCAAAAUAAGUUCCACAAUUUGCAACAGCCCAUUGAUCAUUAGACAAAAACACGAGUCUCAUAACCCCUUCUAGAAAUAAAAUUCAGUCUAUCACCAAAAUACGUAAUGUUAGCAGCCAUAAACUAUAUAUAAAAAAAAAUAAGAGAACAAUAAAAACAAGAUGAACUAUAAACAAAAUAAAUUAAUCAGGCACUAGUCCCCGACAACGGCGGCAAAAAUUAAUAGGUGCUGAACCUGUGGAAUAAUAAUAAAUAAAACCUAACUACCACUUGAAACAGUCAAUAAUCAAUUCUAGUACUAGAGCAGGGACCCUAGGUGUGCAACGGGUUACUUGAUUCACCCUGUUCCCGAAGAGUUUGCUUAAUCCGAUAUAUUAGAAUUAAUUAUUUAACUGAAUUCACUAACUAGUAGACAAUGGCAAGCAGGAUCGUCUCCUCAAGGACGGGAGAGAAAUUUGUUUCUUUUCGAGUCAAGACAAAUGGGGGUUUUCAGAAUUAAAUGCUAACUAAAUGAAUUAAAUGCAGAAAAUAAUUAAUUAAAAGAAAUAAUUGGGAGAACUCUAGCCAAGAAUACACUUCAGAAAUGGUUCAUGCACUAAUCAUCGAUUCACAUAUAAUUCUAACAUUUAUUAAUAGAUUAGUUAUAGUUGUCAUGCACGCGAUAAACAACCAACAUUUUUUUAAUUUCUCGAUAGUUACGGUACGACCGUUAACUAUUUCUCUAACCCGGUAACAAUUCUAGAUACGAUCGUAAGAUUUAAUUUCUAGAUUGCAUUAAUAAUUAGAAAGCUCCAAUCUUAACUAACAAACACGCUACGAGGGUUUGUUUAAAUUAGAUUGUAUGUUUCCCUGACAUAAACCCAAUUAUGCCAGUUGCUACUGAGAUGGGGAUAAUCGAACAAUUACGGAUUUAAUUACCCCUAAUUAGCAAAAUAGCCUAUGUGAAUAAUUAAUUAUUGCGCACUAAUCAAUCAUACACAAGAACUAUUACAAUUAAAAGCAGGAAACAUAUAAAUACCAAUAAAUGGAGAAAACAGUUAAAAUAAUUUAGAUCUCACAGUAAUUGUCGAACCAAAUCGUCAGAUGCCCAAUUGACAGGUGCCGAACCUGUGCAAUAAUAAUAAAUAAAACCUAACUACCACUUGAAACAGUCAAUAAUCAAUUCUAGUACUGAAGCAGGGACCCUAGGUAUGCAAUGGGUUACUUGAUUCACCCUGUUCCCGAAGAGUUUACUUAAUCUGAUAUACCAGAAUUAAUUAUUUAACUGAAUUCACUAACUAGUAGACAGUGGCAAGCAGGGUCGUCUCCUCAGGGACUGGGGAGAAAUUUGUUUCUUUUCGAGUCAAGACAAAUGGGGGUUUUCAGGAUUAAAUGCUAACUAAAUGAAUUAAAUGCAGAAAAUAAUUAAUUAAAAGAAAUAAUUGGGAGAACUCUAGCCAAGGGUACACUUCAGAAAUGGUUCAUGCACUGAUCAUCGAUUCACAUAUAAUUUCAACAUUUAUUAAUAGAUUAGUUAUAGUUAUCAUGCAUGGGAUAAACAACCAACAUUUUCUUAAUUUCUCGAUAGUUAAGGUACAACCGUUAACUAUUUCUCUAACCCGAAAACAACCCUAGGUACAACCGUAGGAUUUAAUUUCUAAAUUGCAUUAAUAAUUAGAAAGACCCAAUCCUAACUAACAAACAUGCUACGAAAGUUUGUUUAAAUUAGAUUGUAUGUUUCCCUGACAUAAACCCAAUUAUGCCAGUUGCUACUGAGAUGGGGAUAAUCGAACAAUUACAGAUUCAAUUACCCCUAAUUAGCAAAAUAGCCUAUGUGAAUAAUUAAUUAUUAUGCACUAAUCAAUCAUACACAAGAGUUAUAACAGUUAAAAGCAGGAAACAUAUAAAUACCAAUAAAUGGUGAAAACAGUUAAAAUAAUUUAGAUCUCACAAUAAUUAUCGAACCAAAUCGUUAGAUGCCCCCUUGACUAGAAAAUAAGAUUAGUUACUCUCCAUUGAGAGUAACUUACACAAUUCCAUUGAAGGAAAUUGCGUUAAUGUUUUACAAUAGAAAAAAAACUACUCAGAGGAGAAGAGAGCCAAGUGGCUGCCGUGCUUUUCUUUUCUUAUUCCCUCGCCGAGUAGUAAUCACGCGGGAUCCGGCUUUUUCUUCCUCAAAUCCGUGCAAAGGAAAUCAAAGACAAGAAAAAUUGCUGCUUCCUCUUUUGUCUCCAGCCUCUUGAAAGAGAGCUAAUCUCUCCCGAAUCAUAAUCCCUAUUUUUUCUCCUAAUUGGUUGGUAUCUUGAUACCAAUCAACUUCCUAAAAAGAUUCCUAUCACAAUUUAAUUUCCUAAAAACUCUCCAAAUCAUUUGAGGAUGAUCUCGCUAUAUCGGGAAGGUCCUGAUAGCUAUCAAAUUAUGAAAUUGAUUCAGAUUUGGAGAUUGCCCAAUAUCAAUCCCGACUUUUCGGUUUUGAGCAGUGAACUUAGGCGCGCGCUCGUGCAACCAUCAGAUGUUUUUCACUAGAAAAUCUCCAUUUAAUCACUUUUCAUUCCCGCUCCUGAAAUAAGCACAAAAUACCAAAUAUAAGUAGAAUCCGACAAUUAAAAUAAUAUUUGGCUAAAAUCAAGGGAAGAAUAAUUAUAAAUUUAGCAACAAAUUAUAACCUAUCAAGUCGUCACAAUGCAUUAUUGAUAACAUUGAAUUUUUUAAAGUAUUAUGUAACCUUGGUGCUAGUUUAUCAGUAAUUCCUUUAAGAGUGAUUAGACAAUUAGAUUUACAUGAGUUUAAAAGUACUAAUAUUGCUUUGCAGUUAACAGAUAGGUCUAUUAGAUAAUUAUUGGAAGUGUUGGAGAAUGUAUUAAUUAAAGUGUAAAAAGUUAUCAUCUUUAUGAAUUUUGAGGUAUUAGAUAUGAAAAAAAAUGUCUAUAUCAAUUAUUCUUGGCAGACCAUUUUUAGCAGUUGCAGGUACUAUUAAUGAUGUUAAAAAUGACAAACUUAAGUUUCAAGUAUGUAAAGAAGAGAUAGAAUUUAAUUUGAAUGAAAUAAAAAAAAUACCCUUUUUUUACUGAUCAUGCUUGUUCUAUUGGCACAAUUGAUAAGUUAGUCAAAGAGUUGAGUCGAGUGAACUGUGACUUCGACCCUUUUGAGAUUUGUUUGAUGAGUUAAAAAAUGCUAGAGGGAGACUGUGAAGAAAUUAAAGAAUUGGCUAAAUAUUUAGAUUUUCAAAUAGCUUAUAAACGGGAUAAUGUUUAUGAAAAUCUUGAUCAAAGAAAAGGGCCCCCACUAUCCUCGGAGAUUGAAGUCCCAAAUCAUUUAUGGUUUUUGGAGAAAAUAGCACUCUACCGGUAAUUAUUAGUGCUCACUUAGAUGAAGAACAAUGUGCGAAAUUGUUAAGGAUUCUAAGAAAACACAAGAAGUCCGUUGGACAAACAAUUUCGGAUAUCAAAGAUACAAGUCAUUCUAUAUGCAUGCACCGCAUAUUAUUAGAAAAAAAUCGCAAACUGAUGGUGAAAAUGCAAAGAAAACUCAAUCCAAAUAUGAAAGAGAUGUAAGAAAUAAAAUUCUCAAAUGGCUCGAUUCAUGUAUAAUCCUUUUUUUCUCUAAUAGUAUUUGGAUUAGUUCAAUGCAUAUUGUCCCUAAAAAAGAUGAAAAAACUGUAGUCAUGGGUAAAAAUGAUAAAAUGAUUCCAUCUCAAUUCAUGAAUUGGUGGAGAGUGUGUAUAGAUUAUAGAAAAUUAAAUGUGGUUACUAGAAAAAUCACUUUUCCUUAUCUUUUCUUGACCAAUUAUUUGAGCGAAUAGCCGGUUAUGAAUUUUACUGUUUUUCUAAUGAUUUUUCAGAUUAUAACCAAAUAACUAUAAUUCCGGAGGAUCAAGAGUAUACCACAUUUACUUACCCUUAUGGUACCUUUGCCUUUAGAAAGAUGCCAUUUGAUCUAUGCAAAAUCCCUGCUACGUUCCAACAUUACAUGGUGACCAUAGUUUCUAAUUACAUUAAGAAAAUUAUGGUGAUAUUUAUGGAUGAUUUUUUGGUAUUUGGUUCAUCUUUUGGUCAUUAUAUUCAUAAUUUAGAUUUGAUUUUACAGAAAUAUGAUGAGACAAAUCUUGUGCCAAAUUAGGAGAAAUGCCAUUUUAUAGUUCGAGAAAAAAUUGUCAGAAUCAGAUAAAGAUAAUAAUGACGAAACUGCAACCAAACCCGUGAUAGUAGAUCCCUACAAAACAUAUAAACUACCAAAUUUGCAAACUUUCAUGACAAUAAGAGCACCUUUAGAAACCUUCAUAACGUCAUUUUUAACUGUGUAUAUGCACCCAAGAACCUUUAGAGUGUCCAAAGAAAUGAGAUUCUUUUUUCAAAUCAAGAACAUGUCUAAUAUUAGUGAGCGUUCUCAAAAUACCAUAAUGUAUUUUAAUUCAAACUGUACCCUUACCAACAACAUCACAAACAACAUUAUUGCCCAUGAAAACAAUUCCAGCAUUACAAGAUUCAUAAGUGAAAAAUAAAUCCCUAUUGGAACAUAUGUGAUAAGAGCACCCCGAAUCUAAAAUUCAUUCAUUUUUAGACCUUGUCCUAUCAUCAAUCACAAAAUAUUUCUUUCAUUCUCAUCAACUGCAGCACAUGUUUCGACAAUUUAGGUACUUUUUUUCAUUAGGUUUCCCCUUUUACUCUAAUCCUUUCAAUUUAAAGUAAUUUGCAUUAAUGUGUCUCAUUUUGUGACAGUAAUUGCAUUAAAAAUUUUUGCGUUUGGGUUUAGAUCUAAAUUUAGAUCUACUACUGUCAAAUGUUUUUUUAUUGGUUCUGCUCGUAACAACCAGACUUUCCAUCUGAUUUCCAAAUUUCUUUAGUAAUAUCCCUGUCUAUCUGCUCCUUAGAUUUUAAUGUAAAUUUAAUUUCAUGAUACGAAAUUGUUUCUUUUUCAUAAAUCAUAGUAUUGUAAAAAUAUUUAAAAGUGGGAAAGGAAAUACAAAAGUAGCAGGGCUUGAUUUUCAACAUCAAUUUUCAAAUCUAUAUUCUCCAAAUCCAUAAUAAUGGAAUCAAAUUUAUCAAGAUGUGAGAGUAUAGAUGUACUUUCAGUCAUGCGAAAUAUAUACAAAUUUUAUUUUAAAUAAAGCCUAUUCUCAAUUGUUUUCUUCAUGUACAAGGCCUUAAACUUGUCCCACGCGGCCUUUACCGAAAUUUCAGUAGUUAUAUCCCGCAAAAUCUCAUCAAAGAGAUUUAAGAUAAUAUUGGAUCUUAUCUUCUUAUCUAUUUUAGCAAAAUUUAUAUCUGUCACACUCUUUGACUUUUUAUCAAUUUUUUGUAUUUCUAAAUCAACUCCGUCUUGAAUCAAAAUGCUCUCUAUCUUGAGCUGCCAUUUCCCAAAAUUGACAUUCCUGUCAAAUUUUUUGACAAUAGUCUUUGUUAUUAUCAUUGUUGCUACAAAAUUUAAACCCUCUGGAGAAUUUCUGAUAUUAGUUUGUUAGGUUUGGAUCCAAAAAAUUAACGAAAAGGAUUUUUGACAAUCCUAAAAGACAAAUAACAAAGAAAAAUAAAUAAAACAGGAAUACAGAAAAUUUAUAUGAUUCGGUCAAAUAGACCUACGUUCACGGGUGGAGCAAGAGCAAAAUUUUACUAUGAAUAACAGAAUACAAAAAUGUUUUAGACAAGCAUUUUUAAAUCCAAAACACCUAAUACUUGAAACACAAAAGAACCCAAAAAUAUUUUAUUAAACAAAAAGAUUUAAAUGAUUCAAAGGCCCAAAAUAACCCACUAAAACUCUGUUAAUUUGAUUCAUCUAAUUCCAUCACAGGUUCAUUAUAUUUAUAGGCAGCUAAAGGAAAGACUCCCUUAUACCAAAGACAGGUGGAACAAAGUCACUUUAACAUUUUUUUUUUUAUCAAAAAUGCAGAAUUGGCAACAACAAUAAUUACAGUCACGCUUUGUACUUUCUUGCCUGCCCUUACUGUACAUUUUUCUACAAUGCAUGUUUGGCGGUUGACAUUUUUUUUCCAGCAAAAUAGCAUUUUAUCGAUCUGAGCAAAACCGUACAGAAUGUACUUAUUCCCUCAAACAUAUCAAACGUGUAAAACCUUAUCAUAUUUGACCCGUAAAACAUAAUAAACAUGCGUAUACGAAACUAUAAACGAUGUCCCAAAAGAAUUAUCCCCACAUAACGAGAGACAAAUUUCACCCAUUAUAAAACUACUUUCGACGGGGAUUUUUGGUCAGAAUGUAUCAUAGAAAUUUAUAAUUUACAAUACCAGGUCAAUUUUAUCUUAAAAGUUAGGAGGACUAUUGUCAUCCAAUUGACGUUGACUAACUGCCUGCCUUCCAGUCACAAACUGACAACGAUACUAAAUCACAAACUUGACAACAGAUACUUGUUUUUUUUUAUUAGAGAACGUGAGGAACGUGAGGAGCUAACCACGUCGAAAUCAAAAUAACACAAUACUAAAUCAAUUUCAUUGGGCGAAGCAACCUCUUAACUACUGUUCUUUCUGGGAAUCAAGAUUUUAAAAGUCAAGAUAUCCUCGAAUUCUUGGAUAAGAUCAACAGUAUUGGUCAUCACCCUUCCGUGUAUGCUUUUCUCAUCUAUGUUUCUAGUAACCUCAUUUUCGUUCCUCUGCGAUGACAAACUGUUCUGGAAAUAAUAAUCAUUUGACCACAUGAUUAAAAAUCACUAAUGCAUUGCCAUAUAAAGUAAUCUCUCACCAUCUUACCUUCAUUUGAUAAUUACAUUUUAUUUCCUAACCAUUCUAAUUUGUAAUUCAAUUUGACUAAUGAGUAUUCAAUGGACACUCGUUAAAAGAAAUUUGUAUUAAUUUUUUGAAAAAAAUAUACUCCCUCCGUCCCAAAAUAAGGGACGUUUUUGGGGAUUCUAACUUAUUAUGCACAGUUCAAUCAAUUUGAAUGUGAGACAUUGUUUUCCAAUCGUGCCCCUUUGACCGAUAUCAAAUCUUAAUUGCUGUCUAUGGUGAUGUGAAAAGAAUCUGUGGGUCCAUGUAAAAUGUAAGCUCUUUUUCAUGCUGUUGCCAAGCACGCGCCUAUUUAUGGCCAUCAAAAUUUUUGGUGCUGUCCACGCACCUUUUUUUUGGAUGUCUAUGUAUUGCUUUUGUAGUUCCAUCAUACUUGUUUUUUAUUUUAUCAAUGUCUCUUUUGAGGCUACAAAUGGAAUGUUAGAGAAAAAAAUUGUAGUGUGACUCAAAUUUUGGGACAUGAAAAAAGGUGAACUAUGACAAUAACAAUGGGACGGAGGGAGUAGUUUAUUUGUAAAAGUAUAGCAAUUCGAGAUGUGCAAUAUAAGUGUGUAUGCGUAUUUAUGUAGCAAUUUAGGUGUGGUCAUUAGCAAAAUUUUUCCUAAUUAAGCCUUUACUUAGUAACUGGCAUUUCUCGCCAAAUAUAGAUUGCGUGCCAUUAAAAAAUUCUUCAAAGGGCGGUGUGUCUUUUCACACUGACCUUAUCAAAGACGCGUCCCAUGCUGGUCGGCCGUGACUUUGGUGAUUAGGUCCGACAAGUAAUGAAUUUACUUAUGGGGUACGUCACCCCAUUUUUAGGCCUAUAAAUACGAGGAGCCUGUUUCGUUAUUUUGAUGUGCCAAACUCAGCUACAAAGUUUUCGACAGUCACAACCAGUUACAAAUAUCCAUUUUCGUUCAUAUUAAUUAGCUAGCUAGUUCUCCAAGGGAAAAAAUGGCUGAAGCCAAAUCUGCAACUGUUACUGAUCAGGUGAAUAGUGAUUCGAUUGCCUAGCCAUACCUAGAUUUCCUUCUUUUUCAAGUUUGUGUGUGGUUUUGAGAAUCAACUCAUAAACAACUUGUAUUUGGAAAAGUAUGAGGAGUUGCAAGUUAAAGUAAUUUCAACGAUCUUGAAUUGUCUUAUUAACUGAUCGGAUUUAGUCUUCUUCUGAUUGUUUGUUUAUUUGAAGGGAUUCUAAUUGAUUUUGGGAACUCAAUUGUUUUGCGAUUUUCUUACUGGUUAAAAUGUUUGGGAUUUACAGAUCGACAUCAACUCAAUACAACCAGUGGCGCCGGCUGACCCUCACGUGGUCGGGAUCGGACAAUUUGUAGUGGAAAAAUUUCACCACGGCAAGCUGCAUUUCAUCGCCGUGAUUGGCGGAUUCACUUGGAAUUGUGAAGGAGGCAAGUACUACGCACUUAUCAUUCAAAAUCAGGAUUAUGAGGGCGCCACAUUUAUCCAUAAAGCACUCGUUGUUGAGGCCAAAGGUGAAACGAAACUCCUCUGGCACAGGAAUUAAUCAAGCACUACUAUUGAUCAGCUUAUGCAUGGAUGAUGUACCGCUGUAUUGUACUAGCAUCUUUCCACUGUUGUACUAGUAUGUUAAAUAAGGUGCACUUAUACCAACAAAAUGCACCAUUCCGUCUAUUUUUUAAUUUGUAUCCUUGUAAUAACAUGUAAAAGAUGCACUUUUACGAACAAAAAUGUAGCAUUAAAU